Molecule: long non-coding RNA, 87334 nt
Filed under: Zea mays
Lineage: Eukaryota; Viridiplantae; Streptophyta; Magnoliopsida; Poales; Poaceae
Description: long non-coding RNA (ZMAY_LNC000801)
Source: RNAcentral
UGUACAGAUUUCUCUUUCGACCCUUAUGUUCUCUCUUUCUUCUCGUUUCAAUAUUUGGAGCUUUUGUUCUGCGUUGGACGAUGAUGAUUUGCUCAUAUAUACCAUCAAACUCUGAACAAUCAUACGCUAUGUUGAUUGCACAAAGCUUCCGUGAGUCCGAUGCCAUCUGGCUCUAAUCCUGUUUUUGUUUAUUUGUUUUCUUCCAUUUUCUGUUUCUUUGUUUUCUGAAUUAAUUUUUUCCCGAGGCAAUAAAUUAGAGUCUCUGAUGCGCUUCUUCCAAUAGCGUUUUCAGCGCUGUACGUUGCCGAGAGUGAUUGGGCGCAGAUUCUGGCACGGGACGUCUCUCUGUAUGUCUUGUGCAUUCUACUCGCCCUUACAGUUAUUUGAUCCGCAAGAUCCCUCUUCUAUUCUAUCGUUCAAUACAAAUAUUUCAAGAGACUUGUGUUUUUUUGCCCUUCCGAACAGUGUCUUCUGCACUAAAAGAAAUAUUUGUGAUUUUGAUUUGACCCAGAUAGUCUACAUAUUCAAUGAGUAAACGAAAGUGAAUUAACUCGGCAAUAAAUUAGAGUCUCUGUUGCGCUUGUUUCAGUAGCGUCUUCAGCGCUGUACGUUGCCUAGAACAAUUGGGCAAAGAUUCUGGCACUUCCAUCUAUUCUUAUGGCUUGUGCAUUCGACUUCCCGACAGUUUGUGAAUAAAUUAACUAGAUCACCUGGCAAGAUCUUGGCACCCAUCUGUCGAUUUCCAGGAAUCUUGGUUAAUUAUUGUUUACUCAAAAUUUUGUAAGUAGAAUAAACGUCUAAAAUCUUGGCAGUUUGGCACUCAGGUUUUAAUAAAUUAUCUUUAGUUUUGGGAGUAAAUUUCUUCGUUUCAGGGACAAACUAAAUUCAAUUUUGGGAAUCAUUAAGAGUACUGUAUACAAAUGGAUGUUAGUUUAGUGAAUUCAAUCGGGCAAAGAUUCUGGUUUAGCACGACUUGAGAGCUUGUAUACACAGGCCUUGUCAGCUCUUUUGUAUACAAAUAGAACGCUUGAAAGUUGUACACAGCAAGCUCGUAUCGGUCAAACAUGGCAAAAAAAAAUUAAACGUAUUAUUGAUUGGGACCGAAGGAUAUUUGAAAUGGAAACAUAGCAAGAUUUGAGCGAGGACUGUCUCCAGUAUCCGUCUUUUACAGAAUUCUCUAAAAGAUUCUAUCUCAUAUAUCUACUUUCUCUCCAACAACGUCCUCUAAAUCACGUCCUCUAUAUGUAAAUACCUAUAUUAAAGACAUUUUUAAUUUUUAAAUUUUUGUACAUUUGUAUUUGUCAUAAUCUCAAAUGUAUUGUACAUAUUUUAGUUUUAUUAAACCGGUUGUUUAAAGUAUUCAAAUAGUACACAGCAAGAGGAUGUCCUUUUAUCUAAAUUUAGGGUAUAGCACCCUUUAUAGGGUUUUAUUGGAGCCAGCCUUAGCACAAUUGAACUGUUGACCACAAAGUGGCACACUGCUGUUGGUUGUGGCUUGCUUUGUCUCGAUCGCAGUUCGAACAGCUAUUCAGCCAGCCGAUCAAUUUGAGCAUGAACCGAAAGAAUGGAGGCGGGAGGAUAUUUUUAAAAAAAUAUUAGAGAGGUGUGAUAUUAUCCGUGCAUCUUUAGAGGUUAAGUAUUCGAUUGGAUAUUUUAUUUGGAUAUCCACAUCAUAUUCGGAUAUUAUAGUUCUUAUAUCGUAUUGGAAUAUGGAUGACUUAUCCAAAAGAAUAUGGGAUAGCUUAUAUCCGUCAGAUUUUACGAUAUAUCGCCUUGUUCGGAGAGUUUCUUUAAAAACGAUGUUUUUAAAAAGGUCUUUGCACCUUAAUACAUGUGUCUUGGUUGUCUGGUUAUGCCAAUUGUCUUUGUUGUACCAGAUACAUUCAGAAAACAGUGGUUGAGUAAAGAUAAAGCAUAAGGAAACAGUCAUGCAUGAUGACAUGGUUUACCUAGAGAACUAGCACAACAAAUAAUGAAUAAGUAUACCUAAUUUUUUUUACUAUCAGCUUAUGGCGCAUUCAACUGUUCAGACAGUACUUAAGUUUUGGUGAUCUUAUCUUCGAACAAAUUUUGACUGCGAAAUGUUUUGACUAUCAGCUUAUAACACUCAACUGUUAAGUUAGUACUCCCUCCGUUUCUUUUUAUUUGUCGCUGGAUAGUACAAAAUUCGAGCGACAAAUAAAAAGAAACGGAGGGAGUAUUCAAUUCUUGGUGAUCUUAUUAUAUGGCGCGAUCGGUCUGAUCAAACAAAUCUCUAGUGCAAAAUGUAGCCGAUGAAAAUACCGUAGUACCUAUCCCAAAAAAUAAUUUGUUUUUGACUAAGUAUUUUAUAAAUGUAGUUUAUAUGUAUGUAUUUAUUAUGAUUCAUUAUGAUGUUGAUAAAUAAAUGUGCUAGGCAUAGUAAACAUUUAUAUAUCAUGACAUUGCUUUGUCUAGAGAACAGCUGGCUGAACAGACAUGAUUGUUAGUUAGACUAAGGCUAUCUCUGCCUGUCUAUCCCACUACCUAUAUUACACUCUAUUUCAAACAACACUAUAUAAAAAGUACAGUGUAAAGUGCUUUACACGCUCUCGCUUACAUAUUUUUGCAUAUAUUUCGUGACAGUUGCCUUUAAUGACAUCACUUCACUUCAAAUUAAUUAACGUGAUCAAUCUGGUUGUGUAAUUUGGGUAAUAUAAAAUUUGGGGUUUUGAGAAACGGCACUUGAAAUUGUAGCUAGUUUUACGUUACCCAAAAUUUUGGGUUCGAGUUUAGAUAAUCCUUGUAUCCUACCAAACCACCAAAUCAGUAUAAAAACAUAAGGAAGACAAUGAUAUAUAUGUAUAUAAAACACAAAUGCAAUCUAUAAUUACACGUUUAUAACUUAAUUUCACCAUGCACACUUAUCAAUAAUUUAUAGAUACACAAAUCGAGAAUAGACAAUGACAUGAGUCUUGGAGAGUUUGGGUAAUUUGGAUAUUCGGGGAACCGGAGGGUGCUAACUGAAUUACAUAAAAUAAGUCCAGGUUUUAUAAAUUGCUACUCCAAAUUCUCGAAUAAAAUUUAGAUUUCGAGUAUUUUAGGUUUAGGGUUUAGUUUGAAGGAAACAUGUGACGCCAACAAGGGAGGGGUGAAUUAGGACUUCUAAAACUUUCACUAAACUAGGCCACAGAUAAAUCCCUAGAGCAAAACCUAUGCCAAUAAUCAAACAAAAAUGUGCAAACUAGAUUUUGUCUAAGUGUUACUAUCUCUCCCGCAAGGGCUAAGUUUCAAUCUACACUAUAUAAGUAUAAAGACAAGAUUGAAACUUAAAUGCUUAAUAUAAAUGCGGAAGUUUAAAGAGCAAGGUAGAGAUGCAAACUCUCGUGGAUGGCGUCGGUAUUUUUACCGAGGUAUCCGGAACCACGCAAGGUCCCGACUAAUCCUUAUUGGUGCCCCUACACAAAGGAAAGCCCACGCGAGGGCCAAACACCUCGGUCGAGUAACUAUGUAGAGAGUCGCGGGCCUUCUCCACGCGCAAGUGGUGCUCCGCUUUCGACUCCUCUCGGAUGCUCCCCGCCGUCUCCACUAUCGAGCUUCCGACCGAAAACGCCGCGGGCCUCGUUCCCUCUGGUACAUGGUGGCGGCCGUGACACAAACGUGGUUGUCACGGUCUCGCAAGACUCUUGCCCCACUCGGUACAAUUACAACGGCUCGAGCAAGAGCCGAGGGGUUGUGUGGUUUAUCUAAACUCACUCAACUAACUAGGAUUCACCUAGAGCAAGCGCUAGAGCGGUGUAACUAACCAAAGCACUUCGCAAAGCACCUAUGCUAAUCACAGAGUGAUUCUAUUAAACACUUGGGUGUAUGAGCUCUUGGAAAUGUGAACUAUAUGCCUUGGUAUGUCUCUUGGGCUCCCACACCUCCAAAUGGCCGGUUGGGUGAAGUAUAUAUACGCCCCAACUCAAAUAUAGCCAUUGGAAAGCAGUUCUUCAGCUUUCUGUGGCGCACCGGACCGUCCGGUGGUGCACCAGACAUGCCACGUGUACUAGCCGUUAAAGGUAGCCGCUGGAGCUUUCGAAGAUGGCUCACCGGACAUGGCACACUGGACGACCCGGUGUGCACCGGACAACCCAUGCUUGCUUGUCGUAUUUUGGCCAUAACUUUUAGCUCCAAACUCCGAUUUCGAUGAUCUUGUACCUGAAAGUCGCCUAGAGGGGGGGUGAAUAGACGUAAUCUGAAAUUUACAACUUUAAACACACACUACAAGCCGGGGUUAGCGUUAGAAUUUAAUUCAAGUCGAAAAGAGAGGGAAAACAAAUUGUCUGGGACCAUAAUUAGGGGUACCCCCAAGACUCUUAAUCUCAGCUGGUAACCCCCAUCAGCACAAAGCUGCAAAGGCCUAAUGGGCGCGAUUAAGGUCAAGGCUCAGUCCACUCAAGGGACACGAUCUCGCCUCGCCCGAGCCCAGCCUCGGGCAAAGGCAGCCGACCCCGGAGGAUUCACGUCUCGCCCGAGGGCCCCCUCAAGCAACGGACACACCUUCGGCUCGCCCGAGGCCCAGUCUUCGCAGAGAAGCAACCUUGGCCAGAUCGCCACGCCAACCGACCGUAUCGCAGGAGCAUUUAAUGCAAGGAUCGCCUGACACCUUAUCCUGACGCGCGCCCUUCAGUCGACAGAGCCGAAGUGACCGCAAUCACUUCGCCGCUCCAUUGACCGACCUGACAAGAAAACAGCGCCGCCUGCGUUGCUCCGACUGCUGUGCCACUCGACAGAGUGAGGCUGACAGCAGUUAAGUCCAGCCUCGGGCGCCAUAGGAAGCUCUGCCUCGCCCGACCCCAGGGCUCGGGCUCAACCUCGACGCUGGACGAUGGACUCCGCCUCGCCCGACCCCAGGGCUCGGACACAGCCUCGGCCUCGGAAGACGGUCUCCGCCUCGCCCGACCUAGGGCUCGGGCUCAACCUCGACGCUGGACGACGGACUCCGCCUCGCCUGACCCCAGGGCUCGGACACAGCCUCGGCCUCGGAAGACGGUCUCCGCCUCGCCCGACCCAGGGCUCGGACUCAACCUCGACCUCAGAAGACGGACUUCGCCUCGCCAGACCCUAGGGCUCGGACUCAGCCUCGACCACGGAAGACAGACUCGACCUCGACCUCUGAAAGGGAAUUAGGCUUACACCUAUUUCCUAAUUGUUUUUGGUGGUUGAAUUGCCCAACACAAAUAAAUUGGACUAACUAGUUUGCUCUAGUGUAUAAGUUAUACAGGUGCCAAAGGUUCACACUUAGCCAAUAAAAAGAUCAAGUAUUGGGUUCAACAAAAGAGCAAAGGGUCAACCGAAGGCACCUCUGGUCUGGCGCACCGGACUGUCCGGUGCACCAGAGGACUCCAACUCAAACUCGUCACCUUCGGAAAAAUCCAGAGGCGCUCCGCUAUAAUUCACGGGACUGUCCGGUGUACACCGGACAUUGUCCGGUGCUCCAAGGAACAGCGCUUCAGGAACUCGCCAGCUUCGGGAAUUCGCAACGGCUAGUCCACUAUAAUUCACCGGACAUGUCCGGUGUGCACCAGACUGUCCGGUGUGACAACAGAGCAACGGAUAUUUCGGCGCCAACGACUACCUGCAGCGCAUUGAAUGCGCGCCAGCGGGCGCAGAAGUCAGGCACGCCCAUACUGGCGCACCGGACACUCUACAGUACAUGUCUGGUGUGCCACCGGACAUCCAGGCGGGCCCAGAAGACAGAGCUCCAACGGUCGGAACCCAACGGCUUUGGUGACGUGGCUGGCGCACCGGACAUGUCCGGUGUGCACCAGACUGUCCGGUGCACCAUACGACAGUCAGCCCCACCAAACGGCUAGUUUGGUGGUUGGGGCUAUAAAUACCCCCAACCACCCACCAUUCAUUGCAUCCAAGUUUUCAUACUUCCAACCACUUACAAGAGCUAGGCAUUCAAUUCUAGACACACUCAAGAGAUCAAAUCCUCUCCCAAAUUCCACACAAAGCUUUAGUGACUAGUGAGAGAGAUUUGCUUGUGUUCUUUCGAGCUCUUGCGCUUGGAUUGCUUUCUUCUUUCUUGAUUCCUUAUUGCGAUCAAACUCACUUGUAAUUGAGGCAAGAGACACCAAUCUUGUGGUGGUCCUUGUAGGAACUUUGUGUUCCAAGUGAUUGAGAAGAGAAAGCUCACUCGGUCCAAGGGACCGUUUGAGAGAGGCAAAGGGUUGAAAGAGACCCGGUCUUUGUGACCACCUCAACGGGGAGUAGGUUUGCGAGAACCGAACCUCGGUAAAACAAAUCCUUGUGUCUCACUGCUUUACUCGCUUGCGAUUUGUUUUUACGCCCUCUCGCGGACUCGUUUAUAUUUCUAACGCUAACCCGGCUUGUAGUUGUGAUUAUUUUUGAGAAUUUCAGUUUCGCCCUAUUCACCCCCCUCUAGGCGACUAUCAAUUGGUAUCAGAGGCCGGUGCUUCAUUAGAGCCUAACCGCUCGAAGUGAUGUCGGGAGAACUCGCCAAGAGGGAGAUGGAGACCGGCGACAAGCCUGCUACAAGCCACGGGAAGGCUUCAUCGGAAGAGUCCCGCAACAAGGAGAAGAUGAAGGAGAAAAAGAAAGAAAAGAAGACUUCUUCCCACAAGUUGCAUCGGAGUGGCGACAAAAUAAAGAAGAUGAGGAAGGUGGUCUACUACGAGACCGACACUUCAUCACCUUCUACCUCCGGCUCCGACGUGCCCUCCAUAACUUCGAAGCGCCAUGAGCGUAAGAAGUUUAGUAAGAUCCCCUUACAUUAUCCUCGUACUUCUAGACAUACUCCAUUACUUUCCGUUCCAUUAGGCAAACCGCCAACCUUUGACGGUGAAGAUUAUGCUAGGUGGAGUGAUUUAAUGAAAUUUCAUCUAACCUCACUCCACAAAAGUAUAUGGAAUGUUGUUGAGUUUGGAGCACAGGUACCAUCCGUAGGGGAUGAGGAUUAUGAUGAGGACGAGGUGGCCCAAAUUCACCACUUUAACUCCCAAGCCACUACUAUACUCCUCGCCUCUCUAAGUCGAGAGGAGUAUAAUAAGGUGCAAGGGUUAAAGAGUGCGAAGGAAAUUUGGGACAUACCCAAGACCGCGCACGAAGGAGACGAGGUGACAAAGAUCACCAAGCGGGAAACGAUCGAGGGGGAGCUCGGUCGCUUCAUGCUUCACCAAGGGGAGGAUCCACAAGCUAUGUACAACCGCUUGAAGACCUUGGUGAACCAAGUGUGCAACCUCGGGAGAGAAAAAUGGGAUGACCAUGAGAUGGUCAAGGUUAUUCUUAGAUCCCUCGUAUUUCUUAACCCUACACAAGUUGAAAGUCGCCUAGAGGGGGGGUGAAUAGGGCGAAACUGAAAUUUCCAAAAAUAAUCACAACUACAAGCUGGGUUAGCGUUAGAAAUAUAAUAGAGUCCACGAGAGAGGGCGUAAAACAAAUCGCAAGCGAAUAAUGAAGUGAGACACGCGGAUUUGUUUUACCGAGGUUCGGUUCUCUCAAACCUACUCCCCGUUGAGGAGGCCACAAAGGCCGGGUCUCUUUCAACCCUUACCCUCUCUCAAACGGUCCCUCGGACCGAGUGAGCUUUCUCUUCUCAAUCACUUGGAACACAAAGUUCCCACAAGGACCACCACAAGAUUGGUGUCUCUUGCCUCAAUUACAAGUGAGUUUUGAUCGCAAGAAAGAAUCAAGAAAGAAGAAAGCAAUCCAAGCGCGAGAGCUCGAAAGAACACAAUCAAAUCUCUCUCUCUACUCACUAGGGCGUUGUGUGGAAUUUGGAGAGGAUUUGAUCUCUUUGGUGUGUCUAGAAUUGAAUGCUAGAGCUCUUGUAAGUAGUUGGGAAGUGGAAAACUUGGAUACAAUGAAUGGUGGGGUGGUUGGGGUAUUUAUAGCCCCAACCACCAAACUUGACCGUUGGUGGAGGCUGUCUGUUCGAUGGCGCACCGGACAGUCCGGUGCACACCGGACAUGUCCGGUGCCCCAGCCACGUCACAAGUGCCGUUGGAAUCUGACCGUUGGAGUUCUGACUUCUGGGCCCGCCUCGAUGUCCGGUGGCGCACCGGACAUGAACUGUUCAGUGUCCGGUGCGCCGGUAUGGGCGCGCCUGCCUUCUUCGCGCGCUGCGCGCGCAUUUAAUGCGUUGCAGGUAGCCGUUGGCGCGAAGUAGCCGUUGCUCCGAGGAUGCACCGGACAGUCCGGUGCACACCGGACAUGUCCGGUGAAUUAUAGCGGAGCAGCCUUCGUGAAAUCCCGAGGCUGGCGAGUUCCGGAGCAGCGUCUUCGUUGGAGCACCGGACACUGUCCGGUGUACACCGGACAGUCCGGUGAAUUAUAGCGCGCCGGUUCUGGAUUUUCCCGAAGGUGACGAGUUGGAGUUGGAGUCCUCUGGUGCACCGGACACUGUCCGGUGGCACACCGGACAGUCCGGUGCGCCAGACCAGAGGAGCCUUCGGUUGCUCCUUUGCUCUUUUGUUGAACUCAAUACUUGGUCUUUUUAUUGGCUAAGUGUGAACCUUUUGCACCUGUAUAACUUAUACACUAGAAUAAACUAGUUAGUCCAAAGAUUUGUGUUGGGCAAUUCAACCACCAAAAUUAUAUAGGAACUAGGUGUAAGCCUAAUUCCCUUUCAAUCUCCCCCUUUUUGGUGUUUGAUGUCAACACAAACCAAAGCAAAUAUAGAAGUGCAUAAUUGAACUAGUUUGCAUAAUAUAAGUGCAAAGGUUGCUUGGAAUUGAGCCAAUAUAAAUACUUACAAGAUAUGCAUGGAUUGUUUAUUUAUUUGUAACAUUUUGGACCACGCUUGCACCACAUGUUUUGUUUUUGCAAAAUCUUUUGUAAUUUUUUUUCAAAGUUCUUUUGCAAAUAGUCAAAGGUAAAUGAAUAAGAGUUUGCAAAGCAUUUUCAAGUUUUGAAUUUUUCUCCCCCUGUUUCAAAUGCUUUUCCUUUGACCAAACAAAACUCCCCCUAAAUGAAAUCCUCCUCUUAGUGUUCAAGAGGGUUUUGAUGAAUCAAUUUUGAAAUACUACUUUCUCCCCUUUUUGAACAUAUUAAGAUACCAAAUUGACAAUUGAAAAUUAUAUUUUAAAAUUAGGUGAUGGUGCGGUCCUUUUGCUUUGGGCUAAUACUUUCUCCCCCUUUGGCAUGAAUCGCCAAAAACGGAGUCAUUAGAGCCCUCCGAAGUACUUUCUUCUCCUUUGGUCAUAAAAUAAAUGAGUGAAGAUUAUACCAAAGUUGGAGAGAAGCUCGGAGUGACGGCGAAGGAUGAGUAGUAGAGUGGAGUGGAAGCCUUUGUCUUCGCCGAAGACUCCAAUUCCCUUUCAAUAUACCUAUGACUUGGUUUGACAUACCCUUGAAAACACAUUAGUCAUAGCAUAUAUCAAAGAGACAUGAUCAAAGGUAUACUUAUGAGCUAUGUGUGCAAGUUUAGCAAAAGAAGUUCCUGGAAUCAAGAAUAUUGAGCUCAUGCCUAAGUUUGGUAAAAGAUUGUUCAUCAAGUGGCUUGGUAAAGAUAUCGGCUAAUUGAUCUUUAGUGUUAAUGUAUGAAAUUUCGAUAUCCCCCUUUUGUUGGUGAUCCCUAAGAAAAUGAUACCGAAUGGCUAUGUGUUUAGUGCGGCUAUGCUCAACGGGAUUAUCCGCCAUGCAGAUUGCACUCUCAUUAUCACAUAGAAGAGGAACUUUGGUUAAUUUGUAACCAUAGUCCCGCAGGGUUUGCCUCAUCCAAAGCAAUUGCGCGCAACAAUGGCCUGCGGCAAUAUACUCGGCUUCGGCAGUAGAAAGAGCGACCGAAUUUUGCUUCUUUGAAGCCCAAGACACCAAGGAUCUUCCCAAGAACUGGCAAGUCCCCGAUGUGCUCUUUCUAUUAAUCUUACACCCCGCCCAAUCGGCAUCCGAAUAACCAAUCAAAUUAAAUGUGGAUCCCCGAGGGUACCAAAGCCCAAACUUAGGUGUAUAGGCCAAAUAUGUCAAGAUUCGUUUUACGGCCGUAAGGUGUGAUUCCUUAGGGUCGGCUUGGAAUCUUGCACACAUGCAUACGGAAAUCAUAAUGUCCGGUCGAGAUGCACAUAAAUAAAGCAAUGAACCAAUCAUCGACCGGUAUACCUUUUGAUCGACGGAUUUACCUCCCGUGUCGAGGUCGAGAUGCCCAUUGGUUCCCAUGGGUGUCUUGAUGGGCUUGGCAUCCUUCAUUCCAAACUUGGUUAGAAUGUCUUGAGUGUACUUCGUUUGACAAAUGAAGGUGCCCUCUUGGAGUUGCUUGACUUGAAAUCCUAGAAAAUACUUCAACUCCCCCAUCAUCGACAUCUCGAUUUUUUGUGUCAUGAUCCUACUAAAUUCUUCACAUGUAGAUUCGUUAGUAGACCCAAAUAUGAUAUCAUCAACAUAAAUUUGGCAUAUAAACAAAUCAUUGUCAAGAGUCUUAGUGAAUAAAGUAGGAUCGGCUUUGCCGACUUUGAAGCCAUUAGCAAUAAGGAAAUCUCUAAGGCAUUCAUACCAUGCUCUUGGGGCUUGCUUGAGCCCAUAAAGCGCCUUAGAGAGCCUAUAGACAUGGUUAGGGUACUCACUAUCUUCAAAGCCGGGAGGUUGCUCAACAUAGACCUCCUCCUUGAUUGGUCCAUUGAGGAAGGCACUCUUCACGUCCAUUGGGUAGAGCUUGAAGCCAUGGUAAGUAGCAUAGGCCAAUAAUAUACGAAUUGACUCAAGCCUAGCUACGGGUGCAUAAGUUUCACCGAAAUCCAAACCUUCGACUUGGGAGUAUCCCUUGGCCACAAGUCGAGCUUUGUUCCUUGUCACCACACCAUGCUCAUCUUGCUUGUUGCGGAAGACCCACUUGGUUCCUACAACAUUUUGGUUAGGACGUGGAACUAAAUGCCAUACCUCGUUCCUCGUGAAAUUGUUGAGCUCCUCUUGCAUCGCCAUCACCCAAUCCGAAUCUUGCAGUGCUUCCUCUACCCUGUGUGGCUCAAUAGAGGAAACAAAAGAGUAAUGCUCACAAAAAUGUGCAACCCGAGAUCGAGUAGUUACCCCCUUAUGAAUGUCGCCGAGGAUGGUAUCGACGGGGUGAUCUCGUUGGAUUGCUUGGUGGACUCUUGGGUGUGGCGGCCUUGGUUGUUCAUCCUCCUUGUCUUGAUCAUUUGCAUCUCCCCCUUGAUCGUUGCCGUCAUCUUGAGGGGGCUCAUCUCUUUGGUCUUCUCCUUCAUCAACUUGAGCCUCGUCCUCAUUUUGGGUUGGUGGAGAUGCUUGCAUGGAGGAGGAUGGUUGAUCUUGUGCAUGUGGAGGCUCUUCGGGUUCCUUAGGACACACAUCCCCAAUGGACAUGUUCUUUAGCGCGAUGCACGGAGCCUGUUCUUCACCUAUCUCAUCAAGAUCAUCUUGCUCUACUUGAGAGCCAUUAGUUUCAUCAAACACAACGUCACAAGAAACUUCAACUAGUCCUGAGGACUUGUUAAAGACUCUAUAUGCCCUUGUGUUUGAGUCAUAUCCUAGUAAAAAGCCUUCUACAGUUUUAGGAGCAAAUUUAGAUUUUCUACCUCUCUUAACAAGAAUAAAGCAUUUGCUACCAAAAACUCUAAAAUAUGAAAUACUGGGCUUUUUACCAGUGAGGAGUUCAUAGGAUGUCUUCUUGAGGAUUCAGUGAAGAUAUAACCGGUUGAUGGCGUAGCAGGCGGUGUUCACCGCCUCGGCCCAAAACCGAUCCGGUGUCUUGUACUCAUCAAGCAUGGUUCUUGCCAUGUCCAAUAGAGUUCGAUUCUUCCUCUCCACUACACCAUUUUGUUGUGGAGUGUAAGGAGAAGAAAACUCAUGCUUGAUGCCCUCUUCCUCAAGAAAGUCUUCUAUUUGUGAGUUCUUGAACUCCGUCCCAUUGUCGCUUCGAAUUUUCUUGAUCCUUAAGUCGAACUCAUUUUGAGCCCGUCUCAAGAAUCCCUUUAAGGUCUCUUGGGUAUGGGAUUUUUCCUGCAAAAAGAACACCCAAGUGAAGCGAGAAUAAUCAUCCACAAUAACUAGACAGUACUUACUCCCGCCGAUGCUUAUGUAAGCUAUCGGGCCGAAUAGGUCCAUGUGUAGGAGCUCCAGUGGCCUGUCACUAGUCAUGAUGUUCUUGUGUGGAUGAUGAGUGCCAACUUGCUUCCCGGCUUGGCAUGCGCUACAAAUCCUGUCUUUCUCAAAAUAAACAUUGGUUAGUCCUAAAAUGUGUUCUCCCUUUAGAAGCUUAUGAAGAUUCUUCAUUCCAACAUGGGCUAGUCGGCGGUGCCAGAGCCAACCCAAGUUAGUCUUAGCAACCAAGCAAGUGUCGAGUUCAGCUCUAUCAAAAUCUACCAAGUAUAGCUGACCCUCUAACACUCCCUUAAAUGCUAUUGAAUCAUCACUUCUUCUAAAGACAGUAACACCUACAUCAGUAAAUAGACAGUUGUAGCCUAUUUGACAUAAUUGGGAUACGGAAAGCAAAUUGUAAUCUAAAGAAUCUACAAGAAAAAUAUUGGAAAUAGUAUGGUCAGGUGAUAUAGCAAUUUUACCCAAUCCUUUGACCAACCCUUGGUUUCCAUCCCCAAAUGUGAUAGCUCGUUGGGGAUCUUGGUUUUUCUCAUAAGAGGAGAACAUCUUUUUCUCCCCUGUCAUGUGGUUUGUGCACCCGCUGUCGAGUAUCCAACUUGAGCCCCCGGAUGCAUAAACCUACAAAACAAUUUUAGUUCUUGACUUUAGGUACCCAAACGGUUUUGGGUCCUUUGACAUUAGAAACAAGAACUUUGGGUAUCCAAACACAAGUCUUGGAGCCCUUGUGUUUGCCCCCAACAAACUUGGCAACUAUUUUGCCGGAUUUGUUAGUCAAAACAUAAGAUGCAUCAAAAGUCUUAAAUGAAAUGCUAUGAUCAUUUGAUGCAAUAGGAGUUUUCUUUCUAGGCAACUUGGCAUGGGUUGGUUGCCUAGAGCUAGAUGUCUCACCCUUAUACAUAAAAGCAUGGUUAGGGCCAGAGUGAGACUUCCUAGAAUGAGUUCUCCUAAUUUUGCUCUCGGGAUAACCGGCAGGGUACAAAAUGUAACCCUCGUUAUCCUGAGGCAUGGGAGCCUUGCCUUUAACAAAGUUAGACAAAUUUUUAGGAGGGGCAUUAAGUUUGACAUUGUCUCCCCUUUGGAAGCCAAUGCCAUCCUUGAUGCCAGGGCGUCUCCCAUUAUAGAGCAUACUUCUAGCAAAUUUAAAUUUUUCAUUUUCUAAGUUAUGCUCGGCAAUUUUAGCAUCUAAUUUUGCUAUAUGAUCAUUUUGUUGCUUAAUUAAUACCAUGUGAUCAUGAAUAGCAUUGAUAUCAACAUCCCUACAUCUAUCACAGAUAGACACAUGCUCAAUAGUAGAUGUAGAGGGUUUGCAAGAUUUAAAUUCUACAACCUUAGCAUGUAAUAUAUCAUUUUCACUUCUAAGGUUAGAAAUAGUAGCAUUGCAAACAUCAAAAUCUUUAGUCUUAGCAAUUAAUUUUUCAUUUUCAAUUCUAAGACUAGCAAGAGAAUCAUUCAAUUCCUUAAUCUUAGCAAGCAAAUCAUUAUUAUCAUUUCUAAGGUUGGGAAUUGAAACAGCACAAACAUGAGAAUCAACCUUAGUAAUUAAUUUGGCAUUUUCAUUUCUAAGGUUGGCAAUAGUGUCAUGACAUGUGCUUAGCUCACUAGAUAAUUUGUCACAUUUUUCUACCUCUAGAGCAUAAGCAUUCUUAACCUUAACAUGUUUUUUAUUUUCCUUGAUUAGGAAGUCCUCUUGGGAGUCCAAGAGAUCAUCCUUUUCAUGGAUGGCACUAAUUAGCUCAUUCAAUUUUUCCUUUUGUUCCAUGUUAAGGUUGGCAAAAAGGGUAUGCAAAUUAUUUUCCUCAUCACUAGCAUUAUCAUCACUAGAGGACUCAUAUUUAGUGGAGGAUUUAGAUUUAACCUUCUUCCUUUUGUCGUCCUUUGCCAUGAGACAUUUGUGGCCGACGUUGGGGAAGAGGAGUCCCUUGGUGACGGCGAUGUUGGCGGCGUCCUCGUCGUCGGAGGAGGAGUCGGUGGAGCUCUCAUCCGAGUCCCACUCCCGGCAAACAUGGGCAUCGCCGCCCUUCUUCUUGUAGUACCUCUUCUUUUCUCUCCUCUUUCCCUUCUUGUCGUUGCCCCUGUCACUGUCACUAGAUAUAGGACAUUUUGCAAUGAAAUGACCGGGCUUACCACACUUGUAGCAAACCUUCUUGGAACGGGAUUUGUAAUCCUUCCCCUUCCGUUGCUUGAAGAUUUGGCGAAAGCUUUUGAUGAUUAAAGCCAUCUCCUCAUUGUCGAGCUUGGUGGCGUCAAUUGGUUGUCUACUCGGUGUAGACUCCUCCUUCUUCUCCUCCGUCGCCUUAAAAGCCACCGGUUGUGCUUCAGACGUGGAGGGUUCGUCAAGCUCGUUGAUCUUCUUUGAUCCUUUAAUCAUGCAUUCAAAGCUCACAAAAUUCCCGAUUACUUCCUCGGGAGUCAUUAGUGUGUAUCUAGGAUUACCACGAAUUAAUUGGACUUGAGUAGGGUUAAGGAAAAUAAGUGAUCUCAAAAUAACCUUAACCACUUCGUGAUCAUCCCAUUUCUUGCUCCCGAGGUUGCACACUUGGUUUACCAAGGUUUUGAGCCGGUUGUACAUAUCUUGUGGCUCCUCCCCUUGGCGAAGACGAAAGCGACCGAGCUCCCCCUCGAUCGUUUCCCGCUUGGUAAUCUUGGUGAGUUCAUCACCCUCGUGCGCGGUCUUGAGAAGGUCCCAAAUUUCCUUUGCAUUCUUCAACCCUUGCACCUUGUUGUAUUCCUCCUUGCUUAGAGAUGCGAGGAGUAUGGUUGUAGCUUGGGAGUUGAAGUGAUCGAUUUGGGCCACUUCGUCCGUAUCAUAAUCCUCAUCCCCUAUAGAUGGUACCUGUGCUCCAAACUCAACAACAUUCCAUAUAUUUUUGUGGAGUGAGGUUAGAUGAAAUUUCAUUAAAUCACUCCACCUAGCAUAAUCUUCGCCAUCAAAAGUUGGCGGUUUGCCUAAUGGAACGGAAAGUAAUGGAGUAUGUCUAGGUGUACGAGGAUAGUGUAAGGGGAUCUUACUAAACUUCUUGCGCUCUUGGCGCUUAGAAGUUACGAACGACACAUCGGAGUCGGAGGUCGAUGUUGAUGAAGUGUCGGUCUCGUAGUAGACCACCUUCCUCAUCCUCUUGUGCUUGUCACCUUUCCGAUGCGACUUGUGCGAAGAAGAUUUUUCCUUCUUCUCUUUGUGGUGUGAGGAAGAAGAUCUUUUCUCCUUCCGUUUGGAGGAGUCCUUCUUCUUUUCCUUCCUCUUGGUGCGGGACUCUUCCGAUGAAGUGCUCCCUUGGCUCGUAGUGGGCUUGUCGCCGAUCUCCAUCUCCCUCUUGGUGUGAUCUCCCGACAUCACUUCGAGCGGUUAGGCUCUAAUGAAGCACCGGGCUUUGAUACCAAUUGAAAGUCGCCUAGAGGGGGGGGGGGGUGAAGGGCGAAACUGAAAUUUCCAAAAAUAAUCACAACUACAAGCUGGGUUAGCGUUAGAAAUAUAAUAGAGUCCACGAGAGAGGGCGUAAAACAAAUCGCAAGCGAAUAAUGAAGUGAGACACGCGGAUUUGUUUUACCGAGGUUCGGUUCUCUCAAACCUACUCCCCGUUGAGGAGGCCACAAAGGCCGGGUCUCUUUCAACCCUUACCCUCUCUCAAACGGUCCCUCGGACCGAGUGAGCUUUCUCUUCUCAAUCACUUGGAACACAAAGUUCCCACAAGGACCACCACAAGAUUGGUGUCUCUUGCCUCAAUUAUAAGUGAGUUUUGAUCGCAAGAAAGAAUCAAGAAAGAAGAAAGCAAUCCAAGCGCGAGAGCUCGAAAGAACACAAGCAAAUCUCUCUCUCUAAUCACUAGGGCGUUGUGUGGAAUUUGGAGAGGAUUUGAUCUCUUUGGUGUGUCUAGAAUUGAAUGCUAGAGCUCUUGUAAGUAGUUGGGAAGUGGAAAACUUGGAUACAAUGAAUGGUGGGGUAGUUGGGGUAUUUAUAGCCCCAACCACCAAACUUGACCGUUGGUGGAGGCUGUCUGUUCGAUGGCGCACCGGACAGUCCGGUGCACACCGGACAUGUCCGGUGCCCCAGCCACGUCACAAGUGCCGUUGGAAUCUGACCGUUGGAGUUCUGACUUCUGGGCCCGCCUCGAUGUCCGGUGGCGCACCGGACAUGAACUGUUCAGUGUCCGGUGCGCCGGUAUGGGCGCGCCUGCCUUCUUCGCGCGUUGCGCGCGCAUUUAAUGCGUUGCAGGUAGCCGUUGGCGCGAAGUAGCCGUUGCUCCGAGGAUGCACCGGACAGUCCGGUGCACACCGGACAUGUCCGGUGAAUUAUAGCAGAGCAGCCUUCGUGAAAUCCCGAGGCUGGCGAGUUCCGGAGCAGCGUCUUCGUUGGAGCACCGGACACAGUCCGGUGUACACCGGACAGUCCGGUGAAUUAUAGCGCGCCGGUUCUGGAUUUUCCCGAAGGUGACGAGUUGGAGUUGGAGUCCUCUGGUGCACCGGACACUGUCCGGUGCGCCAGACCAGAGGAGCCUUCGGUUGCUCCUUUGCUCUUUUGUUGAACUCAAUACUUGGUCUUUUUAUUGGCUAAGUGUGAACCUUUUGCACCUGUAUAACUUAUACACUAGAAUAAACUAGUUAGUCCAAAGAUUUGUGUUGGGCAAUUCAACCACCAAAAUUAUAUAGGAAUUAGGUGUAAGCCUAAUUCCCUUUCACAAGUUCAAUUAAUUCGAGGUGAUCCUAGAUAUAAGCUAAUGUCUCCCGAGGAAGUCAUAGGAAAAUUUGUGAGCUUUGAGCUAAUGAUUAAAGGCUCAAAGAAAAUCUUCGAGCAAGGCACCUCCUCCACACCCGAAGCACAACCGGUCACAUUCAAGGCAACAGAGGAGAAGAAGGAGGAGUCUACAUCAAGUAGACAACCAAUCGACACCUCCAAGCUCGACAAUGAGGGAAUGGUGCUCGUCAUCAAGAGCUUCCGCCAAAUCCUCAAACAAAGGAGGGGGAAGGACUACAAACCUCGCUCCAAGAAAGUGUGUUACAAAUGUGGUAAGCCCGGUCAUUUUAUUGCGAAAUGUCCUAUAUCUAGUGACAGUGACAGGGGCGACGACAAGAAGGGGAGAAGAAAGGAGAAGAAGAAAUACUACAAGAAGAGGGGCGGCGAUGCCCAUGUUUGUCGGGAGUGGGACUCCGACGAAAGCUCUAGCGACUCCUCCUCCGACGAGGACGCCGCCAACAUCGCCGUCACCAAGGGACUUCUCUUCCCCAACGUCGGCCACAAGUGUCUCAUGGCAAAGGACGGCAAAAGGAAGAAGGUUAAAUCAAAAUCCUCCACUAAAUAUGAAUCUUCUAGUGAUGAUAAUGCUAGUGAUGAGGAAGAUAAUUUGCGUACCCUUUUUGCCAACCUUAACAUGGAACAAAAGGAAAAACUAAAUGAGCUAAUUAGUGCCAUCCAUGAAAAGGAUGAUCUCUUGGACUCCCAAGAGGACUUCCUAAUCAAGGAAAAUAAAAAACAUGUUAAGGUUAAGAAUGCUUAUGCUAUAGAGGUAGAAAAAUGUGAGAAAUUAUCUAGUGAGCUAAGCACAUGUCAUGACACUAUAGGCAACCUUAGAAAUGAAAAUGCCAAAUUAAUUGCUAAGGUUGACUCUCAUGUUUGUAAUGUUUCAACUUCCAAUCCUAGAGAUGAUAAAGUUGAUUUAAUUGCUAGGAUUGAUGAUUUGAAUGUUUCCAUUGCUAGCCUUAGGAUUGAAAAUGAGAAAUUGCUUGCCAAGGCUAAAGAUUUUGAUGUUUGCAAUGUUACUAUUUCUAACCUUAGAAGUGAAAAUGACAUAUUACAUGCUAAGGUUAUAGAAUUAAAAUCUUGCAAACCCUCUACAUCUGUCGUUGGGCAUGUAUCUAUUUGUACUAGAUGUAGAGAUGUUGAUAUUAAUGCUAUCCAUGAUCACAUGGCUUUAAUUAAACAACAAAAUGAUCAUAUAGCAAAAUUAAAUGCUAAAAUUGCCGAGCAUAACUUAGAGAAUGAAAAAUUUAAAUUUGCUCGUAGUAUGCUUUAUAAUGGGAGACUGUGACACCCCAGUGUCACCUAGGGUUUCUCUUGAAAAGCCCAACCAAAAACCAUCAUUUUAUGUAAAUCAAAGUAAGCAUGAGCAUCAAAAUAACUUAAGUAAGAAAGAGUUCACCAAGUAUAUGCUUAAAAGUGUCAUGAUCAAAACAAUUGAGUCUCUUAAAGGAUAAGAAUGUGCAACCCUAAUUAAGAACCCUAAGUGAGCCCCAUGAGCAAAAUUCAAGAAAAUAAGAAAAAGGGGAUGAAAAGUUUAAAAUUUUGAGUUGAGCCAAUUAUAUAAGUUAAAGUAUAUUUGAUAAACAACAAGAAAGAUUGAGAGAGCUUAGCCAAAAUAAUUCAAGAAAACCCCCAAAUCAAGCUUCUUUUGUUGGGACUCAUUGGGAAUUCUGAAUUUCAGAAUUCUGAAAUUCAGACCUUGAGCCAAAGAUUAGGGAUGUUCACCUUGAUCCCUAACUCGAAUCCUAAUGGCCCCAUUGACAAAAUUGUGUCUAACUAACCCCUCUGUCGUGUGCCAGAAGAUGGCAUUGGGACGCGAGCCCUAGACACGACAAAACUUGGGAUUUGCCUCGGGUCUGGGCAGGGAGACAGACCAGAUUUCCUGGCUCCAUAUCUCUGCAACCAGUAGGCAAAAUCCUAUGACCUCCACACAAGAAUGGUAGCUUGUAGGGAGGAGAAGAGGUUUCGUGCACUGGCCAAGGCGAGAGCAGGCUCGGAUGAGCGACCACACGCGCCAGAGCUUGGGCAGAACGCACGAGCACACGUGUUCGACCCUGGUCGGCACGCCAGAGCUCGCCCAACCCGCGCGCGCGCUCGCCCCGGCGUCCGGUCAAGUCCGCCGCGCGCCCACGCCCUCGGCCGUGCCCGCCCGCGCCUAUAAAGCCUCCCCGGGCGCACCUCUCUUUGCCCCGCACUCACCCUCACCGGCCAGCCACCGUUCCUUAGCUCCGGCAAGCGUAUCUUCCGCCCGCCAUUGCCGCCAGAGCUACGGCCGCCGUGGCCAGCCCACUCCAGCCACCCUCAAGCCCAACCAGUGCUUCGGCUAGCUCCGCCAGUAGCCCGUGAAGCUUGCCAAGCCCUCGGACCAGACCGGACUUCACCGGAGGCCCGAGAUCAACCUCACCGGACUUCGGUCUUCCGCCGCCGCGCGUGGACCGAGCUAUCCAGUGAGUCUCCGCCCGAUUCCUUUCACUCAUGUCUUCUCUGGCAACCCGUGGACCUCCCUGACCUAUUUAAUUGAACUACCUCGCCGUGACCAGGCCGGUCUCCUCGCCGCCGACGAGCAUCCCCGCCUGCGCGCGUGGACCGACCGACUCCGGCCAUCUCCGAUGGCGUUCCGCACACCGUUGUGAUCCCCGCGACCUCCCCUUCGUCCUCGACCACUUCACCGGAACAGUCUCGCCGCCGGUAAGCCCCUCCGCCCUUUUCUUCGCCGCGGCUACUGUUUGAGGUAGAAGAAGGACCUCGGGUUAGGUUCUGUAGAACCCGAGGGGUUUUCUGUAAUGUCAGCGACUCAUGUGAAUAGUAACCUAAGGACUGAUUCGCGAGGAAAACCUAGAAAAACCGCCAGGGACCCCAGUGCAAAGUGGAUUUCCAUUUAAUCAAUUCUUUUAUUCUUUUAAAAUAACCAGAGAACUUAGAAAAUCCAUAACUUGAUGAAAUCUUAAUGAAAAGCUGUCAAACCAAUUUUGCUAGCUCUGGAAUAUUAUGAUCUAUUAUUUAAAAAUAGUGAACCGUGUGCUUUCUGUUCUAAAUUUUAGAGUUUAAAAUUAAAAACAGAAACCCCCUAAACCUUGUUUAAUUAAGGAAAAUUAGUUUUUCUUUUGUGCUGAGCUUAAGAAAAUUUGUAGAUGCUUAUACCUUAAUUAUACACUGUUUAAAAAUAGUAGGAGCCCCAGCAUUAGAGAUUAUGAUGUAGUUAUUCAUUUAAAGCCAUUUUGUCCAAAACUUAGAGAAAAUCAGAAAAGCAUUAGAAAAUGUUGAACAGUGAUUAGUAAUAUUUUUCCUAGUUUACUUAUGCAACAAAGAACCUAGGAAAAAUGCAGAGACCAUUAAUUAGGACCAGUUUCUAAUUAAGAUGCUUUAAUUAGCCUUAUGAAGACUGAAAAUCAAUUAUUAGGAUUACAAAACUAUAACCAAAGUGGUUAACAAAAAUCCAGUGAACUCAUAACCACCAGAGCCCCACUACAAAAAUACAGAGCACCCCAGCCUAACUUUUUAAGUAAGGAAAAUAAAUACAAAGUGGUAAUAAGGCAUUUUCCCAAUAAAUCAUAAACAACCUCAAAUAAUGUGGCAUUGGGCAACCAAAAAUUUGCUAAGUCCAUGAUGAGAUAAACCACCAGAGAAAAAUACAAACCCAUGAAAAAGAAGUGAACCCAUGCCUUUUGCUAGUAAUUUGUGAGAAAGGCCAUUUGACUUAAAUAAUGCAAACCACCCCUUCCCUUAAGCAAAAAGAAGCCAAACUUCAGAAUGAUUGCUCUUGCGCAAAAUACCAACUAAGAAGAAUAAGAACUCUGUUGUUUGAUGUUUUUCAAAUAUAGUGGUAGUAGAAAGCACCUAUUUGGCUAAAAACUUGAGAAAACCAUAAGAAAAUAAUUAAAGGGUAUUAGUAACUAGAAAAUUGUAUCAAGUCAUGUUAUGACACCUAAAAGCCAGCAAAAAUAAGUUUUAAAGAAUUACCCACUGUUAAAUAAUAGUUGUAGUUCAAAGUACCCCUUCUGCCCUAAAAUUUGGUAAUUUUGUCCAGAGAAAACCAUUCACUUUCUGAACCCCAAAUUUUGUGACAGAGAAUCAUACACUAGUAACAAGCCACUGUAAUUUUUGCAGAAUUUUUAGAAUUUUAUAAAAGCAACUUGUAGUUCAAACCUACUCCAAAACAUUAAAGAGAAUAAAAGAAAAGAGAAGAAGGAAUAAACCUCAUCCCAUUAAAACUAACCCAAUUUACCAAGUAUACCACUAAAGGGUUUUACAUAAGCAAGGUUAACUUGUUUAAAUUCAAAAAAGACCAUACAUCUUUAAAGUUGUAAAUUCUAAAGCACAUAUCAUAUCAUGCAUGUAUCUUACGCAUUGCAUUCAUUAGAUUGUAAUCUUGCUGACGGAGAGUACGUGCUCAUCCCCGAGCAAGGACCUGUCCAAGAGGAGGACCAGGAGCAGGCUUCAGAGGCUGCUAUUGAGGAUCUCCCCGCAGCCCCAGCAAUUGAAGGCAAGCCCCGGUUUUAUGCAUAACCAUGUUAUUAUAUGCUACUUUACUACACUUAAUGCUUGUAGGAUUGCAAUGUGCACUUAAGUGUAGGAGUUGCUUGAAACCUCUAGUUGCAUGAACUUAGGAUUCCUUUUUGAGAUGAAUACUAGUAUGCUAGGUCGAGUAGCUGCUUGCUAAUCAGGAUCUCGGUAGAAGUCGAGUGAUUUUUCUAGCACUCGCGCGAGGUCAGGAAUUGAUUGUAUUCAUCUUGAUAAUGGGAUAUAUGUUGGUCCGUGGACUUGGAUCCAGGGAGGAUGCCUUGUCCAUGAGACGGGAAAAAUGAAUUAAGGAUUAAUGUGUGGAUACCUGAGUCAAGCUUUUGAACGUACUAAGCACAUGCCGGGAAAAAUGGUAACCGGUAAACCUAGUACCUGAGUGAAGCCGGGCGCGGACUUUAUCCCUCAUGCGACCUGAGACAGGGUCUCCCAUGCUAGCUAUGGUGGGUACAAGUGCGGUCACUGCACGGCGGCAGCCGAGGUCAGUGGAGCAUUGUAUGCCAAGGCGGUGAGGCCUGGACGCGAACGGGGAAUCGAUGGGGACGGUUGUCAUGUGUGGGGACGGAGUACCCUGACAUGCCGUGUGUUUAGGUUUACCUUGCAAGGUUUUAAAACUCGAUUCGAAUCGUCUGCUUCUCGCAGCUAAUGAGACUGCUUGAUUCCUUGUACUGCAUCGAGUAAGAAGUGAAAUGUGGAUUACAUGAGAUAACUUGUUGAUUGAGCUAAUUGCUUGUUACCAUGUAUGCUUAGAAGGAGCAAAUCUAGCUAAGUUAAUGAUGGUAGAACUUGAAAAGCUAAAAAUUGAUUUUAGAAACAGCUAGUGCUUUUGGCAAACCAAACCCCUCAGCCAAACAGCUGCAUAGUCUAGAGGUAGAGGAGUAGACUCCUCACACCGGUUAAGUCUAGCUGAGUAUUAGUAUACUCAGCCUUGCUUGUGGCACCAUUUUUGCAGGUACCAUGCAGGAUGUAGUUGAUGGUGUGACUUGGCCUACCACCCUGCCACCGGGUUGGACGGUCGAGUGGGAUGUUGCUCCGGCAGGAGAGGAGCAUGAGGAGUAGUGGGCUAGGCCUUGCCCAUUUCCUCAUUACCGAUGACAUCGAUUAUCCGCUGCACUUUAUUUUGUGAACUUUAUGGCUACUCAAGAACUCCGAUUUAUGUAAUAACUCAGCACUUAAUUUGAGGUUUCCUGUUUUAUUGUAUUUCUUCUGUGACUCACCUUCGAGUGAGAUUGUGGAAUUUGAUCCUGGUUAAGUGGCUCUAUCAGACUAGAUCUGAGGGACUGACGGGUUAUUCCGGUUUAAGUGCGUUACGGCCCCUGAGGCGUGACUUAGGCACUUAAGCUAGAAUAAUUCGGGUGGUUCUGCCACAGCUGGUAUCGGAGCAAAUUCCACCACAGAGAAGGACAAUAAACCAUGAAUACCAAUUUUCAAAACCUAAAACUUGCUUAGAAACUGUUACGGAUCGUCAGGACUGGACCGCUAGACCUAGGACGAAAGGCCUUAGGCAUAGGGGGAGAAAUAGGUGGCUAAUUAAUUAGGCCCUGUGGGCCAAUACUUAUAUUUUUGGAUGCCCUAAAAAGGCACCCUAUUUCCUUUUUGAGAGGCAACGUUUCUUUCAGCAUGCAUGCAUUAUAAAACACAAAGAGGAAUUAAAAUUUGAGCUAACCCCUUUUCUUUAGAACCAUCCGGGCUCUCUUUUUCUUUUUCCUUCCACCAUAAUCUUUAUCUUUGAUUCCCUUCCGCAGAUGAAUUCACCCACCCCCGCCAGUGGAGGAGACUCUCGUUUCAGUUCUGACUUCCUUUCUCGCGAUGGCUUUCCUUCCAUCUUGUGGGAAGUGCUUAACUCCGCCGGUUACCCUACGCCCCCUUUGUACACGGUGCAGUUGUAUGAGGAGCAUCGGGUACCUCGUUGUCGGGUCUGGCUAACUUUGGAGGCUCAUCCCCUUCAGCCGGGUUGGCGUUCUCUUGACUCUGAGACGAUUGGACUCAGGACGGACGACACCGUUGAGGCAGCAGCCAUGAAGACUCUGACGACUUUCUGUGGCUACCAUCCCCUGGAGAUGGUGAUGCACCCCUUGGGACUCUUCCCUGCUAAGAAGAAGGAUGAUCCCAUGUGGUGUAACCGCGUGAGCCAUGUGAAGGAUGUGUGGGCAAUGUAUCCUGACUUGGUUGGGAGGGUCACUGUUCAGUGCAUGAGUGCGCUGUACCGCCUUCAGGCCCUUCAGAGCGAUGCUAUGACACUUCUUGCUAACACCGCUCAGGCUGCCAAGCUCACUCUCGACAGUCGGGAAGAUUUUGUGGUCGACCUAUCCACAGAGUUGGUGGAAAAGGAUCUGCAGGUGGAGAGGCUGAGCCAGCGUAUCACCACCCUGGAGCAGCAAGUGGAGAUCCGAGAUAACACUAUUGAUGUCUUGGAGAACCAGCUUCACGACGUGCAGAGGGAACUUGAGGAAGCCAAUGACCACUUGGACAUGCACCACCUGGAGAUGGAGGCCAAUGAAGCAGGAAGCGAGGGAGAAGAGGCUCCCGAGGAGCUAGGACCAGCCCCUGGUGCCAAUGGGACUACCUCCGCGAUACCUCCUUCACCCGUAUCCAGUGUCGCUUCCACCGCUCAGGGUUAAGCAGUCGCUUUGACAUUUUUAUGCGGAUAGAAACCUAUGCGAGCUUAGUAGUAUCACAUUUUGGACUAGGCUUGUGGGUACCUUCCCCUGAUUAAUGUAACCCUGUAAACUUUUGAUAUCUGUGGGAUCCUUGUCACCCUGUUAUCUUCAUUUCGAACCUAAUAUUAUGAUUAUGGCAUUUUCCUUCCAUAUGAGAUGAUAUCUUGUCGUUCGGAAAUGUGAAUUGGGAUAAUAAUGGCGACAAUCUCUGUUUUCAGAUGGCAGCGAGGCAGCGUCGCGGGCAAAAUGAGCAAGCUCCCCCGCCACCUCCUCCAGCUCCCACAGUGCAGGAGCUGAUGGCCCAGCAGAAUGAAAUUCUGCGACAGCUCUUGCAGCGCCAGCCCCACCCUCAGCAUCAUGGUGGAGGCCAGCAUCAGCGACCUCCGGCUAUGGCAACAUACCAGGAGUUUCUGAGCACGCAGCCGCCCUUGUUCACCAAGGCAGAGGAUCCGUUGGACGUCGACGUGUGGCUUCGCGUCGUCGAGUCCAAGUUUCCCCUCCUCACGGGAGACUGCCCUGAUGAGACCAAGGCUCGCUUCGCCGCACAGCAGCUUCGCGGCCCUGCUCGGACUUGGUGGGACCACUUCCGUGCUAUGCUCCCCGCUGAUCGUGAAGUAUCUUGGGAGGAAUUCAAGACUGCCUUCAGAGGACACCACAUUCCAGCUGGCAUUCUUGAUCGGAAGUUGAAUGUAUUUCUGGCCCUUAAUCAAGGAACCCGCACGGUACUGCAGUAUGCGCAAGCCUUCAACGACUUAUGCCAGUAUGCAGGGUAUCAUGCUGAUUCUGAUGAAAAGAAGAGGGAUCGCUUCCGCAGGGGUCUCAAUACCAAGCUGCGGGAACGACUCAACACUGUCCGGGCUGAUAGCUUCAAUGAGUUGGUCAACAUGGCCAUCUCUCAGGAGGAUUGCAUUGUUGCUCACCGGGCAGAGAAGAAGAGGAAGGCACCAAUGGCAGCACCAUCCGCUCAGGCUCAGAGGUUCCGGAUUGUUUCUCACAAUCAGAGCAGGGGUUUUCAGCAGCAGGCAGGCAGAUGGGUGAUCAGGCCACCUCAGCAGCAGCAGCAGCCGGCACCCAACCGCUAUCCAGCUCCCGCCCCAAGAAACAAUCAGCCUCAGCAGCAGCAGCAGUUCCGCCAGGGCAAUGGGAACAAGUGUUUCACUUGUGGCAAUGUGGGCCACUAUGCCAAGAAUUGUCCCAGGAACCAGCAGAGGCAGAUGCCAGCACCAAAUCAAGACAAGGGAAGAAAGCAGAAGGUGCAAGUCAGGCAAGGGAAGCUCAACUUCACUGCUCUAGAGGAAGUGCCAGAAGGAGCUCCUAUCAUGACCGGUACCUUUUCAGUUUAUAAUCAACCUGCUUUAAUUCUGUUUGAUUCUGGUGCAUCUCAUAGUUUCAUUAGCCAAAAGUUCAGUGCUAAUUGCAAACUGCCAUUCUCUCACUCAAAAGGGUCAUUCAUGAUAGUCACACCUGGGGGUAAAAUUGCAACUAAUCAAUUAAACCAAAGUGUGCCUAUUCAACUGGGAAGCCACAUUGUCAAAACCACUCUUCUUGUGUUGGGAUUGGAAAAUGUGGACAUUAUUUUAGGAGCAAAUUGGAUGACCUUGCACCAAGUUGUGCUUGAUGUAGCCAGUCGUACCGUGGAAGUUAAUUCUCCUUUCUGCGGGAAUUUCACUUUGAUUCUGCCUAGUCAGGGUUCUUCUCAGUCAUGUGCUUUCUCUAUGACGGAGUUACCCCUGAAGAAGAUCCCAGUGGUCUGUGAGUAUGCAUAUGUCUUUCCUGAUGAAUUGCCAGGGAUGCCACCGGACCGGGAUAUUGAAUUCGCCAUCGAGUUGCAACCGGGAACGGCCCCAAUUUCCAAGAGGCCCUACCGAAUGCCACCCGCUGAGUUGGCAGAGUUGAAGAAGCAGUUGCAAGAGUUGCUGGACAAGGGAUUUAUUCGCCCAAGCACUUCGCCUUGGGGAUGUCCAGCGCUGUUUGUGAAGAAGAAGGAUGAAAGCUUGAGGCUGUGUAUAGAUUACCACCCUCUUAAUGCGGUAACUAUCAAGAACAAGUAUCCUUUGCCUCGUAUUGAUGUUCUCUUUGACCAGUUGGUCGGGGCUAAGGUGUUUUCCAAGAUAGACCUUCGCUCUGGCUACCACCAGAUCAAAAUACGAGCAAGUGAUAUUCCGAAGACGGCAUUCUCAACCAGAUAUGGGCUAUAUGAAUUCUUGGUAAUGUCAUUCGGGCUGACAAAUGCGCCAGCAUAUUUCAUGUAUCUGAUGAACUCUGUUUUCAUGCCGGAAUUGGACAAGUUCGUGGUGGUUUUCAUCGAUGAUAUUCUGGUGUACUCGAAGAACGAAGAAGAACAUGCCGGGCAUUUGCAUGUAGUGCUUCAACGUCUGCGAGAGCACCACCUUUAUGCCAAGUUAUCCAAGUGUGAUUUUUGGCUAAAGGAAAUCAAAUUCUUGGGUCACACUAUCUCUCAGGCUGGAAUAGUUGUUGAUCCUGAUAAAGUGCAAGAGGUGAUGAACUGGAGGCCACCAACGACUGUUCGCCAGAUUCGGAGUUUUCUGGGAUUGGCUGGUUAUUACCGAAGAUUUAUUCCGGACUUCUCUCGAAUUGCGAAGCCUAUUACUGAGUUGCUGAAGAAAGAGGUCAAGUUUGUGUGGAGUCAGAAGUGCGAAGAUGCCUUCCAUGCAUUAAGGCAGCAUCUGACCACAGCACCAGUAUUGGCGCAACCCGACAGCAGCAAGCCUUUUGAUGUGUAUUGCGAUGCCUCUGGCACCGGGCUAGGUUGUGUCUUGAUGCAAGACAACCGAGUCAUUGCUUAUGCCUCAAGAGCACUCAGGCCUCAUGAGCAAAAUUAUCCUACUCAUGACCUUGAGUUAGCAGCUGUGGUUCAUGCAUUGAAGAUGUGGAGGCACUAUCUAAUGGGAACCCACUGCAACAUCUUCACUGAUCAUAAGAGCCUUAAGUACAUUUUUACUCAGGCUGAUCUUAACAUGAGGCAGAGAAGAUGGCUAGAGCUGAUCAAGGAUUAUGACCUGGAGGUCCAUUAUCACCCAGGGAAAGCUAAUGUGGUAGCUGAUGCCUUGAGUCGGAAGUUGCAAUGCAACUGUAUUCUGAUGGAUUCUCAUGUUAACACCUUGUGUGAUGAGUUGAGCAAGAUGCAAAUUGAAGUGAUUCCUUCUGGUUCUUUGUCUCACAUUGCUGUUGAGCCAGCCUUGCAAGACCAGAUUAUCAUGGCCCAGCUCAGUGACAAGGGAGUGCAGAUUAUCAAGAAAAAUCUCCAUCAGAAGGUUGAGAAGUAUAAUUGUUUCCGCCAGGAUGAAAAGGGUGUGUUAUGGUUCAAAAGCAGAUUGGUAAUUCCUAAGGACCAGGAUCUCAAGAAGAAAAUUUUGGAUGAGGCUCAUCUCUCCAAAUUCUCUAUGCAUCCGGGAAGCACCAAGAUGUACCAUGAUUUGAAGCUUUUGUACUGGUGGACCAGAAUGAAGAGGGAGAUAGCCCAGUAUGUAUCAGAGUGUGACACCUGUCAGAGGAUAAAGGCAAGCCACUUGAAGUCCGCUGGAGCUUUGCGACCACUGUCCGUACCUUCGUGGAAGUGGGACGACAUCAGCAUGGAUUUCAUUGUGGGUCUACCCAACACCUCUCGUCGUCAUGAUUCGAUUUGGGUUAUUGUGGACCGAUUGACGAAAGUGGCACAUUUUCUUCCUGUGCACACCACUGAUAAGGCUCAGAAGUAUGCAGAAUUGUAUAUUGACCGGAUCAUGUGUUUGCAUGGAUUACCUCGGACCAUUGUUUCUGACCAAGGAGCCCAAUUUGUUGCCAGAUUUUGGGAACAAUUGCAAGAGUCUUUGGGAACCAAGCUAAUCAGGAGUUCAGCUUACCACCCACAGACUGAUGGUCAGACGGAAAGGGUAAACCAGAUUCUGGAGGAUAUGCUGAGAGCUUGUGCGAUCGAUUGUGGCAAGAACUGGGAUAAGCACCUCUCCUUGGCAGAGUUUGCUUAUAACAAUAGUUAUCAAUCCAGCCUAAAGAUGGCACCUUUUGAAGCUCUCUAUGGAAGAAGGUGCAGGACACCACUCAAUUGGUCUCAGCCUGGUGAAAGAGAAGUUUUUGGACCUGAUUUGGUGACUGAAGCCGAAAGGAAGGUCAAGCUAAUCAGGAAGAAUCUAGAAGCUGCUCAGGCCAGACAGAAGAGCUAUCAUGAUAGAAGAAGGAAACCUCUCCAGUUCGAGGUGGGAAGUUUUGUAUACCUCAAGGUAUCACCCACCAAGGGAGUGCAGAGGUUUGGGAUCAAAGGCAAGCUAGCCCCUCGUUACAUUGGACCUUAUGAGAUCAUAGAAGCAUGUGGACCCGUGGCAUACAAGCUGAAGUUACCUUCAAAGAUGUCUGCCAUUCACAGUGUAUUCCAUGUAUCUCAGCUGAAGAAAUGUAUUCGAUUGCCGACUGAGAUCAUAGCAGAGCCAGAAUUGGAGAUAGAGCCAGAUCUCUCGUACCAAGAGUACCCCUCCAAGAUUCUGGAUUGCAAGGAAAGAUCAACUCGGGCUAAAUCGAUCAAGAUGUUCAAGGUCCAGUGGAGUAAUCACUCAGAGGAGGAAGCUACUUGGGAAACCGAGGAAUUCCUAAGAUCCAACUUCCCCGAUUGCCUACCUAAGGAAGCUGGUAUGUAAUCACCCCCAACCCCUCCUCCUGCCUUUCGAAUCUAAUUUCCAAAAAUAUGAUCUUAAUUCAGAAUGAAGUGACUAUAAAGUAAAACUUAAAGGGACUUCCUUCUGAAGUUGCAAAGAGAAUGACAUUCGAAGAGCAGUUUUGCCCUAAUAAUAACAAUCCCACCCUUUUCCUAUCAGUCUCACCCUUCGCUUGACCUCGGAAGGACUCUGGCCCGAAUCUCGGGACGAGAUUCCUUUAAGGGGGAAGGCUGUGACACCCCAGUGUCACCUAGGGUUUCUCUUGAAAAGCCCAACCAAAAACCAUCAUUUUAUGUAAAUCAAAGUAAGCAUGAGCAUCAAAAUAACUUAAGUAAGAAAGAGUUCACCAAGUAUAUGCUUAAAAGUGUCAUGAUCAAAACAAUUGAGUCUCUUAAAGGAUAAGAAUGUGCAACCCUAAUUAAGAACCCUAAGUGAGCCCCAUGAGCAAAAUUCAAGAAAAUAAGAAAAAGGGGAUGAAAAGUUUAAAAUUUUGAGUUGAGCCAAUUAUAUAAGUUAAAGUAUAUUUGAUAAACAACAAGAAAGAUUGAGAGAGCUUAGCCAAAAUAAUUCAAGAAAACCCCCAAAUCAAGCUUCUUUUGUUGGGACUCAUUGGGAAUUCUGAAUUUCAGAAUUCUGAAAUUCAGACCUUGAGCCAAAGAUCAGGGAUGUUCACCUUGAUCCCUAACUCGAAUCCUAAUGGCCCCAUUGACAAAAUUGUGUCUAACUAACCCCUCUGUCGUGUGCCAGAAGAUGGCAUUGGGACGCGAGCCCUAGACACGACAAAACUUGGGAUUUGCCUCGGGUUUGGGCAGGGAGACAGACCAGAUUUCCUGGCUCCAUAUCUCUGCAACCAGUAGGCAAAAUCCUAUGACCUCCACACAAGAAUGGUAGCUUGUAGGGAGGAGAAGAGGUUUCGUGCACUGGCCAAGGCGAGAGCAGGCUCGGAUGAGCGACCACACGCGCCAGAGCUUGGGCAGAACGCACGGGCACACGUGUUCGACCCUGGUCGGCACGCCAGAGCUCGCCCAACCCGCGCGCGCGCUCGCCCCGGCGUCCGGUCAAGUCCGCCGCGCGCCCACGCCCUCGGCCGUGCCCGCCCGCGCCUAUAAAGCCUCCCCGGGCGCACCUCUCUUCGCCCCGCACUCACCCUCACCGGCCAGCCACCGUUCCUUAGCUCCGGCAAGCGUAUCUUCCACCCGCCAUUGCCGCCAGAGCUACGGCCGCCGUGGCCAGCCACUCCAGCCACCCUCAAGCCCAACCAGUGCUUCGGCUAGCUCCGCCAGUAGCCCGUGAAGCUUGCCAAGCCCUCGGACCAGACCGGACUUCACCGGAGGCCCGAGAUCAACCUCACCGGACUUCGGUCUUCCGCCGCCGCGCGUGGACCGAGCUAUCCAGUGAGUCUCCGCCCGAUUCCUUUCACUCAUGUCUUCUCUGGCAACCCGUGGACCUCCCUGACCUAUUUAAUUGAACUACCUCGCCGUGACCAGGCCGGUCUCCUCGCCGCUGACGAGCAUCCCCGCCUGCGCGCGUGGACCGACCGACUCCGGCCAUCUCCGAUGCGUUCCGCACACCGUUGUGAUCCCCGCGACCUCCCCUUCGUCCUCGACCACUUCACCGGAACAGUCUCGCCGCCGGUAAGCCCCUCCGCCCUUUUCUUCGCCGCGGCUACUGUUUGAGGUAGAAGAAGGACCUCGGGUUAGGUUCUGUAGAACCCGAGGGGUUUUCUGUAAUGUCAGCGACUCAUGUGAAUAGUAACCUAAGGACUGAUUCGCGAGGAAAACCUAGAAAAACGCCAGGGACCCCAGUGCAAAGUGGAUUUCCAUUUAAUCAAUUCUGUUAUCUUUUAAAAUAACCAGAGAACUUAGAAAAUCCAUAACUUGAUGAAAUCUUAAUGAAAAGCUGUCAAACCAAUUUUGCUAGCUCUGGAUAUUAUGAUCUAUUAUUUAAAAUAGUGAACCGUGUGCUUUCUGUUCUAAAUUUUAGAGUUUAAAAUUAAAACAGAAACCCCUAAACCUUGUUUAAUUAAGGAAAAUUAGUUUUUCUUUUGUGCUGAGCUUAAGAAAAUUUGUAGAUGCUUAUACCUUAAUUAUACACUGUUUAAAAUAGUAGGAGCCCAGCAUUAGAGAUUAUGAUGUAGUUAUUCAUUUAAAGCCAUUUGUCCAAAACUUAGAGAAAUCAGAAAGCAUUAGAAAAUGUUGAACAGUGAUUAGUAAAUUUUUCCUAGUUUACUUAUGCAACAAAGAACCUAGGAAAAAUGCAGAGACCAUUAAUUAGGACCAGUUUUCUAAUUAAGAUGCUUUAAUUAGCCUUAUGAAGACUGAAAAUCAAUUAUUAGGAUUACAAAACUAUAACCAAAGUGGUUAACAAAAAUCCAGUGAACUCAUAACCACCAGACCCCACUACAAAAAUACAGAGCACCCCAGCCUAACUUUUAAGUAAGGAAAAUAAAUACAAAGUGUAAUAAGGCAUUUUCCAAUAAUCAUAAACAACCUCAAUAAUGUGCAUUGGGCAACCAAAAAUUUGCUAAGUCCAUGAUGAGAUAACCACCAGAGAAAAUACAACCCAUGAAAAAGUGAACCCAUGCCUUUUGCUAGUAAUUGUGAGAAGGCCAUUUACUAAAUAAUGCAACCACCCCUUCCCUUAAGCAAAAGAAGCCAAACUUCAGAAUGAUUGCUCUUGCGCAAAAUACCAACUAGAGAAUAAGAACUCUGUGUUUGAUGUUUUUCAAUAUAGUGGUAGUAGAAAGCACCUAUUUGGCUAAAACUUGAGAAAACCAUAAGAAAAUAAUUAAAGGGUAUUAGUAACUAGAAAAUUGUAUCAAGUCAUGUUAUGACACCUAAAAGCCAGCAAAAAAUAAUUUUAAAGAAUUACCACUGUUAAAUAAUAGUUGUAGUUCAAAGUACCCUUCUGCCCUAAAAUUUGGUAAUUUUGUCCAGAGAAAACCAUUCACUUUCUGAACCCCAAAUUUGUGACAAGAAUCAUACACCAGUAACAAGCCACUGUAAUUUUGCAGAAUUUUUAGAAUUUUAUAAAAGCAACUUGUAGUUCAACCUACUCCAAAACAUAAAGAGAAUAAAGAAAAGGAAGAAGGAAUAAACCUCAUCCCAUUAAAACUAACCCAAUUUACCAAGUAUACCACUAAAGGGUUUACAUAAGCAAGGUUAACUUGUUUAAAUUCAAAAAAGACCAUACAUCUUUAAAGUUGUAAAUUCUAAGCACAUAUCAUAUCAUGCAUGUAUCUUACGCAUGCAUCAUUAGAUUGUAAUCUUGCCGACGGGAGUACGUGCUCAUCCCGAGCCAAGGACCUGUCCAAGAGGAGGACCAGGACAGGCUUCAAAGGCUGCUAUUGAGGAUCUCCCCGCAGCCCCAGCAAUUGAAGGCAAGCCCCGGUUUAUGCAUAACCAUGUUAUUAUAUGCUACUUUACUACACUUAAUGCUUGUAGGAUUGCAAACUAGUAUGCUAGGUCGAGUAGCUGCUUGCUAAUCAGGAUCUCGGUAGAAGUCGAGUGAUUUUCUAGCACUCGCGCGAGGUCAGGAAUUGAUUGUAUUCAUCUUGAUAAGGGAUAAUGUUGGUCUGGACUUGGAUCCAGGGAGAUGCCUUGUCCAUGAGACGGGAAAAAUGAAUUAAGGAUUAAUGUGUGGAUACCUGAGUCAAGCUUUUGAACGUACUAAGCACAUGCCGGGAAAAAUGGUAACCGGUAAACCUAGUACCUGAGUGAAGCCGGGCGCGGACUUUAUCCCUCAUGCGACCUGAGACGGGUCUCCCAUGCUAGCUAUGGUGGGUACAAGUGCGGUCACUGCACGGCGGCAGCCGGGUCAGUGGAGCAUUGUAUGCCAAGGCGGUGAGGCCUGGACGGAACGGGGAAUCGAUGGGACGGUUGUCAUGUGUGGGGUCGGAGUACCCUGACAUGCCGUGUGUUUAGGUUUACCUUGCAAGGUUUAAACUCGAUUCGAAUCGUCUGCUUCUCGCAGCUAAUGAGCUGCUUGUUCCUUGUACUGCAUCGAGUAAGAAGUGAAAUGUGGAUUACAUGAAUAACUUGUUGAUUGAACUAAUUGCUGUUUACAUGUUAUGCUUAGAAGGAGCAAAUCUAGCUAAGUUAAUGAUGUAAACUUGAAAAGCUAAAAAUUGAUUUUAGAAACAGCUAGUGCUUUGGCAAACCAAACCCUCAGCCAACAGCUGCAUAGUCUAGAGGUAGAGAGUAGACUCCUCACACCGGUUAAGUCUAGCUGAGUAUUAGUAUAUACUCAGCCUUGCUUGUGGCACCAUUUUUGCAGUACCAUCAGGAUUGUUGAUGGUGUGACUUGGCCUACACCCUGCCACCGGUUGGACGGUCGAGUGGGAUGUUGCUCCGGCAGGAGAGGAGCUGAGGAGUAGUGGGCUAGCCUUGCCAUUUCCUCAUUACCGACGACAUCGAUUAUCCGCUGCACUUUAUUUUGUGAACUUUAUUUGCUACUCAAGAACUCCGAUUUAUGUAAUAACUCAGCACUUCNNNNNNNNNNNNNNNNNNNNNNNNNNNNNNNNNNNNNNNNNNNNNNNNNNNNNNNNNNNNNNNNNNNNNNNNNNNNNNNNNNNNNNNNNNNNNNNNNNNNAUGUGGUUUGUGCAUCCGCUAUCAAUUAUCCAACUUGAGCCCCCGGAUGCAUAAACCUGCAAAACAAUUUAGGCCUUGUUCUUAGGUACCCAAACAGUCUUGGGCCCUUUGAUGUUAGAAACAAGCACCUUGGGUACCCAAAAACAAGUCUUUGAUCCCUUGUGUUUGCCCCCCAACAUAUUUGGCAACUAUUUUGCCUGAUUUGUUAGUUAAGACAUAGGAUGCAUCAAAAGUUUUAAAUGAAACAUUAUGAUCAUUUGAUGCAAUAAGGUUUUUUUAGGCAUUUUAACAUGUGUAGAAUGCCUAGAGCUAGAUGCCUCAUUCUUAUACAUAUAAGCAUGGUGAGAAAUAGAAUGAGACUUCUUAGUAUGAAUUCUCCUAAUUUUGUGUUCGGGAUAACCAGCAGGAUAUAAAAUGUAGCCCUCGUUAUCCUGAACCAUGGGAGUCUUGCCCUUUACAAAGUUAGACAAUCUUUUAGAGGCAUUAAGCUUGACAUUGCUUCCCUUUUAGAAACCAAUGCCAUCCUUAAUCCCAGGGCGUCUCCCACUAUAGAGCAUUCUCCUAGCAAAUUUAAUUUUUUCAUUUUCUAUCUCAUGCUCAUUGAUUUUAGUGGUUAAUUGAGCUAUAUGAUCAUUUUGUUGUUUAAUUAAAGCAAGAUGAUCAUGAAUAGCAUCAAUAUCUCUACAUCUAGUACAAAUAACAACAUGUUCAAUAGUAGAUGUAGAGGGUUUGCAAACAUUUAAUUCAUCUAUCUUAGAUUUUAGCAUGGCAUUUUCAUCUCUAAGAUAGGAAAUAGAAUCAUUGCAAACAUUUAAAUCUUUAGCCUUUGAAAUUAAACUAGCAUUUUCAGUUUUAAGGCUAGAAAUUGAUUCAUUCAAUUUAUCAAUCUUAGCAAUUAAACUAGCAUUUUCAUUUCUAAGAUUGGUAAUUGAAUCAUGGCAAACAUUUGAUUUUUCAACCUUAGAAAUUAAACUAACAUUCUCAGUUCUAAGGUUGGAAAUAGUGUCAUGGCAAAUGUUAAGCUCUUUAGUCAAGUUUCACAUUUUUCUAUCUCCUAAGCAUAAGCAUUUUUAAAUUUAACAUGCUUUUGUUUUCCUUAAUAAGGAAUUCCUCUUGGCUAUCCAAGAGUUCAUCCUUCUCAUGAAUAGCACCUAUCAAUUCAUUCAAUUUCUCUUUUUAUUGCAUGUUAAGGUUGGCAAAAAAGGUAAGCAAAUUUUCCUCAUCUUCACUAGAGCUACCCUCAUCACUAGAUGUUGUAUAUUUGGUGGAGGCUCUAGAUUUUACCUUCUUCCUUUUACUGUCCUUUGCCAUGAGGCACUUGUGGCCGACAUUGGGGAAGAGGAGACUUUUGUUGACAGCGAUGUUGGUGGCAUCCUCGUCGGAGGAGGAGUCGGUGGAGCUCACGUCGGAGUCCCAUUCCCGACACACUUAGGCAUCGCCGUCCUUCUUCUUGUAGUACUUCUUCUUUUCCUUCUUCCUCCCCUUCUUGUCGUCGCCCCUGUCACUGUCACUAGAUAUAGGACAUUUUGCAAUAAAAGACCGGGCUUACCACACUUGUAGCACACCCUUUUGGAACGGGGCUUGUAGUCUCUCCCCCUCCUUUGCUUGAGGAUUUCACGGAAUCUCUUGAUGAUAAGCGCCAUCUCCUCAUUGUCGAGCUUGGAGGCGUCGAUGGGGAGCCUACUUGAUGUAGACUCUUCUUUCUUCUCUUCCGUCGCUUUGAAUGUGAUGGGUUGCACCUCAGGUGUGGAGGUGCCGCCUUGCUCCAAGUUGACAAUUUGUUUGGAGCCUUUGAUCAUCAAUUCAAAGCUCACAAACUUUCCUAUAACCUCCUCGGGAGACAUUAGCCGCCUUGCACGUAUUAAUUGAACUUAAUUAGGAUUGCGAAAAACGAGUGAUUUUAGAAUAACCUUGACCAUUUCAUGGUCAUCCCAUUUGGUGCUCCCGAGGUUGCGCACUUGAUUCAUAAGGUCUUGAGCCGGUUGUACAUCGCUUGUGGCUCCUCUCCUUGGUUGAGGACGAAUUGACCGAGCUCCUCCUCGAUCGUCUCAUGUUUGGUGAUCUUGGUCACCUCGUCCCCUUCGUGCGUGGUCUUGAGCAUGUCCCAAAUCUCCUUGGCGCUUUUCAACCCUUGCACUUUAUUAUACUCCUCUCGACAUAGAGAGGCGAGGAGUAUAGUAGUGGCUUGGGAGUUGAAGUGCCAGAUUUGGGUGACCUCGUCCGAGUCAUAUAGCCCACGUCCCCCAUGGAUGGUACCUGCGCUCCAAACUGAACAAUAUCCCAUAUACUUGCGUGGAGUGAGGUUAGGUGAUGCCUCAUUUUAUCACUCCACAUACAAAUAGUCCUCACCAUCAAAAACCGGUGGUUUGCCUAAUGGGACGGAAAGUAAAGGAGCACGUUUAGAAAUGCGGGGAUAGCGUAAGGUGAUCUUACUAAACUUCUUGCGCUCAUGGCGCUUAGAAGUGACGGACGCGGCGUCGGAGCCGGAGGUGGAGGGCGACGACGAGUCGGUCUCGUAGUAGACCACUUUCUUCAUCUUUUACUUCUUGUCGCCACUCCGAUGCGACUUGACGCGGGGAGGUGAUUCCUCCCUUCCUUUAGCGCUGGAUUCCCUUGAUGGAGCCUUCCCGUGGCUUGUGGCCGUUUCCAUUUCCCUCUUGGUGGAUCCUCCUAACAUUACUUCGAGUGGUUAGACUCUAAAUGAAGUACCGGGCUCUGAUACCAAUUGAAAGUCGCCUAGAGGGGGGGUGGAUAGGCGGAAACUGAAAUUUACAAACUUAAGCACACUACAAGCCGAGGUUAGCGUUAGAAUAAAAUCCGAGUCCGAGAGAGAGGGGAAAACAAAUCAACUAAGAAAAUAAAGCGGAUGUCACGGUGAUUUGUUUUACCGAGGUUCAGUUCCAAAGAACCUAGUCCUCGUUGAGGUGGUCACAAAGACCGGGUCUCUUUCAACCCUUUCCCUCUCUCAAACGGUCACUUAGACCGAGUGAGGCUUCUUCCUUAAUCUCACGGGUCACUUAGACCCGCAAGGACCAGCUCACAAUUGGUGUCUCUUGCCUCGCUUACAAAGCACUUGAGAGUAAGAAGUGAGAAAGAAAAGAAAGCCAAGCCAAGCAAACAAGAGCAACAAGAAACACAAGUGAUCCUCUCACAAGUCCUAAUGCGCUAGAAUUGAAUUGGGGACUUUGAUCGAAUCGGUGGCUUUGAUUUGUGUCUUGGAGUGUUGCACUUUGUUCUUGUAUUGAAUGGAGAGUGUUGAAUGCUUGGAUGGUUGGAGUGGAGGUGGUUGGGGGUAUUUAUAGCCCUCAACCACCAAAACAACCGUUGGGGUCGUUGCUGUCGAUGGGCACACCGGACAGUCUGAUGCGCCACUAGGCACUGUCUGGUACGCCAGCCACGUCACCCAACCGUUAGGGUUCUAGCGGUUUCGAUCGUUGGAGCUUUGUCUUCAUGUGGCACCGAAUAGUCCGGUGCCGCACCAGACAGGAACUGUUCACUGUCCGGUGCGCCUCUGGCGGCUGCUCUGACUUCUGCGCGAACUGUCCGUGCACUGUAGCAUUGCAGGUGUCCGUUGCAGUCGACGAUUGCGCUGGUAGCCGUUGCUCCGCUUGGCACACCAGACAGUCCGGUGGCACACCAGACAGUCCGGUGAAUUAUAGCGUAGUGGCGCUGAAGAAACCCGAAGGUGAGGAGUUCGCAGUUGUAUGGUCUUGGUGCACCGGACACAGUCCGGUGGCACACCGGACAGUCCGGUGCGCCAAACCAGAGCACACUUUGGUUCUUUUGCUCCUUUGUUUUGAACCCUAACUUUGAUCUUUUAUUGGUUUGUGUUGAACUUUUAUGCACCUAUGGAAUAUAUAAUAUAGAGCAAACUAGUUAGUCCAAUUAUUUGUGUUGGGCAUUCAACCACUAAAAGUUCCCUAUGCCCGGGAACAGGAUUUGGAUGUCGCCUAGAGGGGGGUGAAUAGGCCAAUAAUAAUUAUCAAUUUAAAACUGGAAAUUCUUACUCUACUCGAAGGCUGGAUCGCAGUGGAUUGAAAGACCCUUCGAGUAGGUUGCAGUGGAAUUGAAGUUCCUGUCUUAAAAUACCCUGCACUUUGAAGACAGCUUGUACCACAUAUAAAUAUAGAAGUGCAAGUAUAAACAGCAAAUAAGACAGAGAAACAUCACACAACACAGAGCAGAGCACACAGACACCGGGAUUUAUCUCGAGGUUCGGCCAAGCGUGAAAUGCUUGCCUAGUCCUCGUUGGAGUUAGCCACACCUUGGCUUGGAGUCUAUUUCAACUCCUUCGUCCAUUUGCUCAGAUCUGUCGGUGCAAUAGAUAGAGCCUUCCACUAUGUUGAUAUCAGUUACAACGAUGUCGUGGCUGCUUACAAUCUUCCUGACAGCACUCCGACAGAGUAACAAUGCGCUCAAGAUUUUGCUCUAGCUCUCAGCAGCACUUCCCCUCUCUCUAAAGGCUUAUAACUUCGCCUCUACACAAACUAGAGAGAUACACAAGAGAGGGAGAGAAAGAAUUGAUCCAAAUAGUGUAUGGACUUGUUGGCUGCAUUUGUGUACUUGUUUGAGGCGCCUAGGGGUCCCUUUUAUAGCCCCAAAGGGCCUAGGAGCCGUUGAAGCUUCAUUUGAAAGCUCCCAGCCUUCCCUGGUUGCGGGUGCAUUGGACUGUUCGGUGGCGCACCGGACAGUGAACAAUAAUGGAUAUGAUUGACAGUUUCCUUCUCUGGAAGACCUAGCCGUUGGUGCACCGGACAGAGUGACUAUUCACUGUCAUGUGCACCGGACAGAGUGACUAUUCACUGUCAUGUGCACCGGACAGGUCACUAUUCACUAUCCUGUGCACCGGACAGAGUUACUAUUCACUGUCAUGUGUGUGACACCCCAGUGUCACCUAGGGUUUCUCUUAAAAAGCCAAACCAAGGACCAUUAUUUUAUGUGAACCAAAGUAAGCAUGAGCAUCAAAAUAACUUAAGUAAGAAAGAAUUCACCAAGUAUAUGCUUAAAAGUGUCAUGAUCAAGACAAUUGAGUCUCUUAAAGGAUAAGAAUGUGCAACCCUAAUUAAGAACCCUAAGUGAACCCCAUGAACAAAAUUCAAGAAAAUAAGCAAAAGGGAAUGAAAAGUUUAAAAUUUUGAGUUGAGCCAAUUAUAUAAGUUAAAGUAUUUGAUAAGCAACAAGAUAGAUUGAGAAAGCUUAGCCAAAAUAAUUCAAGAAAACCCCCAAAUCAAGCUUCUUUUGUUGGGACUCAUUGGGAAUUCUGAAUUUCAGAAUUCUGAAAUUCAGACCUUGAGCCAAAGAUCAGGGAUGUUCACCUUGAUCCCUAACUCGAAUCCUAAUGGCCCCAUUGACAAAAUUGUGUCUAACUAACCCCUCUAUCUUGUGCCAGAAGAUGGCAUUGGGACGCGAGCCCUAGACACGACAAAACUUGGGAUUUGCCUCGGGUUUGGGCAGGGAGACGGACCAGAUUUCCUGGCUCCAUAUCUCUGCAACCAGUAGGCAAAAUCCUAUGACCUCCACACAAGAAUGGUAGCUUGUAGGGAGGAGAAGAGGUUUUGUGCACUGACCAAGGCGAGAGCAGGCUCGGAUGAGCGACCACACGCGCCAGAGCUUGGGCAGAACGCACGGGCACACGUGUUCGACCCUGGUCGGCACGCCAGAGCUCGCCCAACCCGCGCGCGCGCUCGCCCCGGCGUCCGGUCAAGUCCGCCGCGCGCCCACGCCCUCGGCCGUGCCCGCCCGCGCCUAUAAAGCCUCCCCGGGCGCACCUCUCUUCGCCCCGCACUCACCCUCACCGGCCAGCCACCGUUCCUUAGCUCCGGCGAGCUCAUUUCCGCCCGCCAUUGCCGCCAGAACUACGGCCGCCGUGGCCAGCCCACUCCAGCCACCCUCCAGCCCAACCAGUGCUUCGGCUAGCUCCGCCAGUAGCCCGUGAAGCUUGCCAAGCCCUCGGACCCGACCGGACUUCACCGGAGGCCCGAGAUCAACCUCACCGGACUUCGGUCUUCCGCCGCCGCGCGUGGACCAAGCUAUCCAGUGAGUCUCCACCCGAUUCCUUUUGUUCAUGUCUUCUCUGGCAUCCCGUGGACCUCCCUGACCUAUUUGAUUGAACUAUCUCGCCGCGACCAGGCCGGUCUCCUCGCCGCCGACGAGCAUCCCCGCCUGCGCGCGUGGACCGACCGACUCCGGCCAUCUCCGACGGUGUUCCGCACACCGUUGUGAUCCCCGCGACCUCCCCUUCACCCUCGGCCACUUCACCGGAACAGUCUCGCCGCCGGUAAGCCCCUCCGCCCUUUUCUUCGCCGCGGCUACUGUUUAAGGUAGAAGAAGGACCUCGGGUUAGGUUCUGUAGAACCCGAGGGGUUUUUCGUAAUGUCAGCGACUCAUGUGAAUAGUAACCUAAGGACUGAAUUGCGAGGAAAACUUAGAAAACCGCCAGGGACCCCAGUGCAAAGUGGAUUUCCAUUUAAUCAAUUUUGUUAUUUCUUUUUAAAAUGACCAGAGAACUUAGAAAAUCCAUAACUUGAUGAAAUCUUAAUGAAAAGCUGUCAAACCAAUUUUGCUAGCUCUGGAAUUUUAUGACCUAUCAUUUAAAAAUAGUGAACCAUAUGCUUUCUGUUCUAAAUUUUAGAGUUUAAAAUUAAAAACAGAAACCCCCUAAACCUUGUUUAAUUAAGGAAAAUUAGUUUUUCUUUUGUGCUGAGCUUAAGAAAAUUUGUAGAUGCUUAUACCUUAAUUAGACACUGUUUAAAAAUAGUAGGAGCCCCAGCAUUAGAGAUUAUGAUGUAGUUAUUCAUUUAAAGCCAUUUUGUCCAAAACUUAGAGAAAAUCAGAAAAGCCUUAGAGAUUAAUGAACAGUGAUUAGUAAUAUUUUCCUAGAUUACUUAUGCAACAGAGAACCUAGGAAAAAUGCAGAGACCAUUAAUUUGGACCAGUUUGUAAUUAAGAUGCUUUAAUUAGCAUUAUGUAGACUGAAAAUCAAUUAUUAGAAUUGCAAAACUAUAACCAAAGUGGUUAACAAAAAUCCAGUGAACUUAUAACCACCAGAGCCCCACUACAAAAAUACAGAGCACCCCAGCCUAACUUUUUAAGUAGGGAAAAUAAAUACAGAAUGAUAAUAAGGCAUUUUCCCACUAAAUCAUGAGCAACCCCAAAUAAUGUGAUAAUGGGCAACCAAAAUUUUGCUAAGUCCAUGAUGAGAUAAACCACCAGAGAAAAAUACAAACCCAUGAAAAAGAAGUGAACCCAUGCCUUUUGCUAGUAAUUUGUGAGAAAGGCCAUUUAGCUCAAAUAAUGCAAACCACCCCUUCCCUUAGGCAAAAGGAAGCCAAACUCCAGAAUGAUUGCUCUUGCACAAAAUACUAGCUAAGAAAAAUAAGAACUCUGUUGUUUGAUGUUUUUCAAGUAUAGUGGUAGUAGAAAGCACCCUUUGGCUAGAAACCUUAGAAAAUCUUAGGGAAAGAAUUAAAGGGUAUUAAUGACUAGAAAUUUGUAUCAAGUCAUGUUAUAACACCUAAAAGCCAGCAAAAAUAAGUUUUUGAGAAUUACCCACUAUUAAAUAAUAGUUGUAGUUCAAAGUACCCCUUCUGCCCUAAAAUUUGGUAAUUUUGUCCAGAGAAAACCAUUCACUUUCUGAACCCAAAUUUUGAGACAGAGAAUCAUACACCAGUAACAAGCCACUGUAAUUUUUGCAGAAUUUUUGAAAUUUUAUAAAAGCAACUUGUAGUUCAAACCUACUCCAAAACAUUAAAGAGAAUAUAAGAAAAGAGAAGAAGAAAUAAACCUCAUCCCAAUAAGACUAACCCAAUUUACCAAGUAUACUACUAAAGGGUUUUACAUAAGUAAAGUUAACUGGUUUUAACUCAAAAGAUCAUACAUCUUUAAAGUUAUAAAUUCUAAAGCACAUAUCAUAUCAUGCAUAUAUCUUACGCAUGGCAUUCAUUAGAUUGUAAUCUUGCCGACGGAGAGUACGUGCUCAUCCCCGAGCAAGGACCUAUCCAAGAGGAGGACCAGGAGCAGGCUUCAGAGGCUGCUAUUGAGGAUCCCCCCGUAGCCCCAGCAAUUGAAGGCAAGCCCCGGUUUUAUGCAUAACCAUGUUAUUAUAUGCUACUUUACUACACUUAAUGCUUGUAGGAUUGCAAUGUGCACUUAAGUGUAGGAGUUGCUUGAAACCUCUAGUUGCAUGAACUUAGGAUUCCUUUUUGAGAUGAAUACUAGUAUGCUAGGUCGAGUAGCUGCUUGCUAAUCAGGAUCUCGGUAGAAGUCGAGUGAUUUUUCUAGCACUCGCGCGAGGUCAGGAAUUGAUUGUAUUCAUCUUGAUAAUGGGGUAUAUGUUAGUCCGUGGACUUGGGUCCAGGGAGGAUGCCAUGUCCAUGAGACGGGAAAAAUGAAUUAAGGAUUAAUGCGUGGAUACCUGAGUCAAGCUUUUGAACGUACUAAGCACAUGCCGGGAAAAAUGGUAACCGGUAAACCUAGUACCUGAGUGAAGCCGGGCGCGGACUUUAUCCCUCAUGCGACCUGAGACAGGGUCUCCCAUGCUAGCUAUGGUGGGUACAAGUGCGGCCACUGCACGACGGCAGUCGGGUCAGUGGAGCAUUGUAUGCCAAGGCGGUGAGGCCUAGACGCGAACGGGGAAUCGAUGGGGACGGUUGUCAUGUGUGGGGUCGGAGUACCCUGACAUGCCGUGGUUUAGGUUUACCUUGCAAGGUUUAAAAACUCGAUUCAAAUCGUCUGCUUCUCGCAGCUAAUGAGACUGCUUGAUUCCUUGUACUGCAUCGAGUAAGAAGUGAAAUGUGGAUUAUAUGAGAUAACUUGUUGAUUGAACUAAUUGAUUGUUACCAUGUAUGCUUAGAAGGAGCAAAUCUAGCUAAGUUAAUGAUGGUAGAAUUGAAAAGCUAAAAGUUGAUUUUAGAAACAGCUAGUGCUUUUGGCAAACCAAACCCCUCAGCCAAACAGCUGCAUAGUCUAGAGGUAGAGGAGUAGACUCCUCACACCGGUUAAGUCUAGCUGAGUAUUAGUAUACUCAGCCUUGCUUGUGGCACCAUUUUUGCAGGUACCAUGCAGGAUGUAGUUGAUGGUGUGACUUGGCCUACCACCCUGCCACCGGGUUGGACGGUCGAGUGGGAUGUUGCUCCGGCAGGAGAGGAGCAUGAGGAGUAGUGGGCUAGGCCUUGCCCAUUUCCUCAUUACCGACGACAUCGAUUAUCCGCUGCACUUUAUUUAUGAACUUUAUCGCUACUCAAAACUCCGAUUUAUGUAAUAACUCAGUACUUAAUUUGAGGUUUCCUGUUUUAUUGUAUUUCUUCUGUGACUCACCUUCGAGUGAGAUUGUGGGAUUUGAUCCUGGUUAAGUGGCUUCAUCAGACUAGAUCUGAGGGACUGACGGGUUAUUCCGAUUUAAGUGUGUUACGGCCCCUGAGGCGUGACUUAGGCACUUAAGCUGGAAUAAUUCGGGCGGUUCUGCCACAGCUGGUAUCGGAGCAAAUUCCACCACAGAGAAGGGCAAUAAACCAUGAAUACCAAUUUUCAAAAUCUAAAACUGCCUAGAAGCUUUACGGAUCGUCAGGACUAGACCGCUAGACCUAGGACGAAAGGCCUUAGGCAUAGAGGGAGAAAUAGGUGGCUAAUAAUUAGGCCCUGUGGGCCAAUACUUAUAUUUUAGGAUGCCCUAAAAAGGCACCCUAUUUCCUUUUGAGAGGCAACGUUUCUUUCCGCAUGCAUGCAUUAUAAAACAAAAGAGGAAUUAAAAUUGAGCUAACCCCUUUUCUUCGAAAUCAUCCGGGCUCUCUUUUUCUUUUCCUUCCACCAUAAUCUUUAUCUUUGAUUCCCUUCCGCAGAUGAAUUCACCCACCCCCGCCAGUGGAGGAGACUCUCGUUUCAGUUCUGACUUCCUUUCUCGCGAUGGCUUCCUUCCAUUUGUGGGAAGUGCUUAAUCCGCCGGUUACCCUACGCCCCCUUUGUACACGGUGCAGUUGUAUGAGGAGCAUCGGGUACCUCGUUGUCGGGUCUGGCUAACUUUGGAGGCUCAUCCCCUUCAGCGGGUUGGCGUUCUCUUGACUCUGAGACGAUUGGACUCAGGACGGACGACACCGUUGAGGCAGCAGCCAUGAAGACUCUGACGACUUUUGUGGCUACCAUCCCCUGGAGAUGGUGAUGCACCCCUUGGGACUCUUCCCGCUGAGAAGAAGGAUGAUCCCAUGUGGUGUAACCGCGUGAGCCAUGUGAAGGAUGUGUGGGCAAUGUAUCCUGACUUGGUUGGGAGGGUCACUGUUCAGUGCAUGAGUGCGCUGUACCGCCUUCAGGCCCUUCAGAGCGAUGCUAUGACACUUCUUGCUAACACCGCUCAGGCUGCCAAGCUCACUCUCGACAGUCGGGAAGAUUUUGUGGUCGACCUAUCCACAGAGUUGGUGGAAAAGGAUCUGCAGGUGGAGAGGCUGAGCCAGCGUAUCACCACCCUGGAGCAGCAAGUGGAGAUCCGAGAUAACACUAUUGAUGUCUUGGAGAACCAGCUUCACGACGUGCAGAGGGAACUUGAGGAAGCCAAUGACCACUUGGACAUGCACCACCUGGAGAUGGAGGCCAAUGAAGCAGGAAGCGAGGGAGAAGAGGCUCCCGAGGAGCUAGGACCAGCCCCUGGUGCCAAUGGGACUACCUCCGCGAUACCUCCUUCACCCGUAUCCAGUGUCGCUUCCACCGCUCAGGGUUAAGCAGUCGCUUUGACAUUUUUAUGCGGAUAGAAACCUAUGCGAGCUUAGUAGUAUCACAUUUUGGACUAGGCUUGUGGGUACCUUCCCCUGAUUAAUGUAACCCUGUAAACUUUUGAUAUCUGUGGGAUCCUUGUCACCCUGUUAUUUCAUUUCGAACCUAAUAUUAUGAUUAUGGCAUUUUCCUUCCAUAUGGAUGAUAUCUUGUCGUUCGGAAAUGUGAAUUGGGAUAAAAUGGCGACAAUCUCUGUUUUCAGAUGGCAGCGAGGCAGCGUCGCGGGCAAAAUGAGCAAGCUCCCCCGCCACCUCCUCCAGCUCCCACAGUGCAGGAGCUGAUGGCCAGCAGAAUGAAUUCUGCGACAGCUCUUGCAGCGCCAGCCCCACCCUCAGCAUCAUGGUGGAGGCCAGCAUCAGCGACCUCCGGCUAUGGCAACAUACCAGGAGUUUCUGAGCACGCAGCCGCCCUUGUUCACCAAGGCAGAGGAUCCGUUGGACGUCGACGUGUGGCUUCGCGUCGUCGAGUCCAAGUUUCCCCUCCUCACGGGAGACUGCCCUGAUGAGACCAAGGCUCGCUUCGCCGCACAGCAGCUUCGCGGCCCUGCUCGGACUUGGUGGGACCACUUCCGUGCUAUGCUCCCCGCUGAUCGUGAAGUAUCUUGGGAGGAAUUCAAGACUGCCUUCAGAGGACACCACAUUCCAGCUGGCAUUCUUGAUCGGAAGUUGAAUGUAUUCUGGCCCUUAAUCAAGGAACCCGCACGGUACUGCAGUAUGCGCAACCUUCAACGACUUAUGCCAGUAUGCAGGGUAUCAUGCUGAUUCUGAUGAAAAGAAGAGGGAUCGCUUCCGCAGGGGUCUCAAUACCAAGCUGCGGGAACGACUCAACACUGUCCGGGCUGAUAGCUUCAAUGAGUUGGUCAACAUGGCCAUCUCUCAGGAGGAUUGCAUUGUUGCUCACCGGGCAGAGAAGAAGAGGAAGGCACCAAUGGCAGCACCAUCCGCUCAGGCUCAGAGGUUCCGGAUUGUUUCUCACAAUCAGAGCAGGGGUUUUCAGCAGCAGGCAGGCAGAUGGGUGAUCAGGCCACCUCAGCAGCAGCAGCAGCCGGCACCCAACCGCUAUCCAGCUCCCGCCCCAAGAAACAAUCAGCCUCAGCAGCAGCAGCAGUUCCGCCAGGGCAAUGGGAACAAGUGUUUCACUUGUGGCAAUGUGGGCCACUAUGCCAAGAAUUGUCCCAGGAACCAGCAGAGGCAGAUGCCAGCACCAAAUCAAGACAAGGGAAGAAAGCAGAAGGUGCAAGUCAGGCAAGGGAAGCUCAACUUCACUGCUCUAGAGGAAGUGCCAGAAGGAGCUCCUAUCAUGACCGGUACCUUUUCAGUUUAUAAUCAACCUGCUUUAAUUCUGUUUGAUUCUGGUGCAUCUCAUAGUUUCAUUAGCCAAAAGUUCAGUGCUAAUUGCAAACUGCCAUUCUCUCACUCAAAAGGGUCAUUCAUGAUAGUCACACCUGGGGGUAAAAUUGCAACUAAUCAAUUAAACCAAAGUGUGCCUAUUCAACUGGGAAGCCACAUUGUCAAAACCACUCUUCUUGUGUUGGGAUUGGAAAAUGUGGACAUUAUUUUAGGAGCAAAUUGGAUGACCUUGCACCAAGUUGUGCUUGAUGUAGCCAGUCGUACCGUGGAAGUUAAUUCUCCUUUCUGCGGGAAUUUCACUUUGAUUCUGCCUAGUCAGGGUUCUUCUCAGUCAUGUGCUUUCUCUAUGACGGAGUUACCCCUGAAGAAGAUCCCAGUGGUCUGUGAGUAUGCAUAUGUCUUUCCUGAUGAAUUGCCAGGGAUGCCACCGGACCGGGAUAUUGAAUUCGCCAUCGAGUUGCAACCGGGAACGGCCCCAAUUUCCAAGAGGCCCUACCGAAUGCCACCCGCUGAGUUGGCAGAGUUGAAGAAGCAGUUGCAAGAGUUGCUGGACAAGGGAUUUAUUCGCCCAAGCACUUCGCCUUGGGGAUGUCCAGCGCUGUUUGUGAAGAAGAAGGAUGAAAGCUUGAGGCUGUGUAUAGAUUACCACCCUCUUAAUGCGGUAACUAUCAAGAACAAGUAUCCUUUGCCUCGUAUUGAUGUUCUCUUUGACCAGUUGGUCGGGGCUAAGGUGUUUUCCAAGAUAGACCUUCGCUCUGGCUACCACCAGAUCAAAAUACGAGCAAGUGAUAUUCCGAAGACGGCAUUCUCAACCAGAUAUGGGCUAUAUGAAUUCUUGGUAAUGUCAUUCGGGCUGACAAAUGCGCCAGCAUAUUUCAUGUAUCUGAUGAACUCUGUUUUCAUGCCGGAAUUGGACAAGUUCGUGGUGGUUUUCAUCGAUGAUAUUCUGGUGUACUCGAAGAACGAAGAAGAACAUGCCGGGCAUUUGCAUGUAGUGCUUCAACGUCUGCGAGAGCACCACCUUUAUGCCAAGUUAUCCAAGUGUGAUUUUUGGCUAAAGGAAAUCAAAUUCUUGGGUCACACUAUCUCUCAGGCUGGAAUAGUUGUUGAUCCUGAUAAAGUGCAAGAGGUGAUGAACUGGAGGCCACCAACGACUGUUCGCCAGAUUCGGAGUUUUCUGGGAUUGGCUGGUUAUUACCGAAGAUUUAUUCCGGACUUCUCUCGAAUUGCGAAGCCUAUUACUGAGUUGCUGAAGAAAGAGGUCAAGUUUGUGUGGAGUCAGAAGUGCGAAGAUGCCUUCCAUGCAUUAAGGCAGCAUCUGACCACAGCACCAGUAUUGGCGCAACCCGACAGCAGCAAGCCUUUUGAUGUGUAUUGCGAUGCCUCUGGCACCGGGCUAGGUUGUGUCUUGAUGCAAGACAACCGAGUCAUUGCUUAUGCCUCAAGAGCACUCAGGCCUCAUGAGCAAAAUUAUCCUACUCAUGACCUUGAGUUAGCAGCUGUGGUUCAUGCAUUGAAGAUGUGGAGGCACUAUCUAAUGGGAACCCACUGCAACAUCUUCACUGAUCAUAAGAGCCUUAAGUACAUUUUUACUCAGGCUGAUCUUAACAUGAGGCAGAGAAGAUGGCUAGAGCUGAUCAAGGAUUAUGACCUGGAGGUCCAUUAUCACCCAGGGAAAGCUAAUGUGGUAGCUGAUGCCUUGAGUCGGAAGUUGCAAUGCAACUGUAUUCUGAUGGAUUCUCAUGUUAACACCUUGUGUGAUGAGUUGAGCAAGAUGCAAAUUGAAGUGAUUCCUUCUGGUUCUUUGUCUCACAUUGCUGUUGAGCCAGCCUUGCAAGACCAGAUUAUCAUGGCCCAGCUCAGUGACAAGGGAGUGCAGAUUAUCAAGAAAAUCUCCAUCAGAAGGUUGAGAAGUAUAAUUGUUUCCGCCAGGAUGAAAAGGGUGUGUUAUGGUUCAAAAGCAGAUUGGUAAUUCCUAAGGACCAGGAUCUCAAGAAGAAAAUUUUGGAUGAGGCUCAUCUCUCCAAAUUCUCUAUGCAUCCGGGAAGCACCAAGAUGUACCAUGAUUUGAAGCUUUUGUACUGGUGGACCAGAAUGAAGAGGGAGAUAGCCCAGUAUGUAUCAGAGUGUGACACCUGUCAGAGGAUAAAGGCAAGCCACUUGAAGUCCGCUGGAGCUUUGCGACCACUGUCCGUACCUUCGUGGAAGUGGGACGACAUCAGCAUGGAUUUCAUUGUGGGUCUACCCAACACCUCUCGUCGUCAUGAUUCGAUUUGGGUUAUUGUGGACCGAUUGACGAAAGUGGCACAUUUUCUUCCUGUGCACACCACUGAUAAGGCUCAGAAGUAUGCAGAAUUGUAUAUUGACCGGAUCAUGUGUUUGCAUGGAUUACCUCGGACCAUUGUUUCUGACCAAGGAGCCCAAUUUGUUGCCAGAUUUUGGGAACAAUUGCAAGAGUCUUUGGGAACCAAGCUAAUCAGGAGUUCAGCUUACCACCCACAGACUGAUGGUCAGACGGAAAGGGUAAACCAGAUUCUGGAGGAUAUGCUGAGAGCUUGUGCGAUCGAUUGUGGCAAGAACUGGGAUAAGCACCUCUCCUUGGCAGAGUUUGCUUAUAACAAUAGUUAUCAAUCCAGCCUAAAGAUGGCACCUUUUGAAGCUCUCUAUGGAAGAAGGUGCAGGACACCACUCAAUUGGUCUCAGCCUGGUGAAAGAGAAGUUUUUGGACCUGAUUUGGUGACUGAAGCCGAAAGGAAGGUCAAGCUAAUCAGGAAGAAUCUAGAAGCUGCUCAGGCCAGACAGAAGAGCUAUCAUGAUAGAAGAAGGAAACCUCUCCAGUUCGAGGUGGGAAGUUUUGUAUACCUCAAGGUAUCACCCACCAAGGGAGUGCAGAGGUUUGGGAUCAAAGGCAAGCUAGCCCCUCGUUACAUUGGACCUUAUGAGAUCAUAGAAGCAUGUGGACCCGUGGCAUACAAGCUGAAGUUACCUUCAAAGAUGUCUGCCAUUCACAGUGUAUUCCAUGUAUCUCAGCUGAAGAAAUGUAUUCGAUUGCCGACUGAGAUCAUAGCAGAGCCAGAAUUGGAGAUAGAGCCAGAUCUCUCGUACCAAGAGUACCCCUCCAAGAUUCUGGAUUGCAAGGAAAGAUCAACUCGGGCUAAAUCGAUCAAGAUGUUCAAGGUCCAGUGGAGUAAUCACUCAGAGGAGGAAGCUACUUGGGAAACCGAGGAAUUCCUAAGAUCCAACUUCCCCGAUUGCCUACCUAAGGAAGCUGGUAUGUAAUCACCCCCAACCCCUCCUCCUGCCUUUCGAAUCUAAUUUCCAAAAAUAUGAUCUUAAUUCAGAAUGAAGUGACUAUAAAGUAAAACUUAAAGGGACUUCCUUCUGAAGUUGCAAAGAGAAUGACAUUCGAAGAGCAGUUUUGCCCUAAUAAUAACAAUCCCCACCCUUUUCCUAUCAGUCUCACCCUUCGCUUGACCUCGGAAGGACUCUGGCCCGAAUCUCGGGACGAGAUUCCUUUAAGGGGGGAAGGCUGUGACACCCCAGUGUCACCUAGGGUUUCUCUUGAAAAGCCCAACCAAAAACCAUCAUUUUAUGUAAAUCAAAGUAAGCAUGAGCAUCAAAAUAACUUAAGUAAGAAAGAGUUCACCAAGUAUAUGCUUAAAAGUGUCAUGAUCAAACAAUUGAGUCUCUUAAAGGAUAAGAAUGUGCAACCCUAAUUAAGAACCCUAAGUGAGCCCCAUGAGCAAAAUUCAAGAAAAUAAGAAAAAGGGGAUGAAAAGUUUAAAAUUUUGAGUUGAGCCAAUUAUAUAAGUUAAAGUAUAUUUGAUAAACAACAAGAAAGAUUGAGAGAGCUUAGCCAAAAUAAUUCAAGAAAACCCCCAAAUCAAGCUUCUUUUGUUGGGACUCAUUGGGAAUUCUGAAUUUCAGAAUUCUGAAAUUCAGACCUUGAGCCAAAGAUCAGGGAUGUUCACCUUGAUCCCUAACUCGAAUCCUAAUGGCCCCAUUGACAAAAUUGUGUCUAACUAACCCCUCUGUCGUGUGCCAGAAGAUGGCAUUGGGACGCGAGCCCUAGACACGACAAAACUUGGGAUUUGCCUCGGGUUUGGGCAGGGAGACAGACCAGAUUUCCUGGCUCCAUAUCUCUGCAACCAGUAGGCAAAAUCCUAUGACCUCCACACAAGAAUGGUAGCUUGUAGGGAGGAGAAGAGGUUUCGUGCACUGGCCAAGGCGAGAGCAGGCUCGGAUGAGCGACCACACGCGCCAGAGCUUGGGCAGAACGCACGGGCACACGUGUUCGACCCUGGUCGGCACGCCAGAGCUCGCCCAACCCGCGCGCGCGCUCGCCCCGGCGUCCGGUCAAGUCCGCCGCGCGCCCACGCCCUCGGCCGUGCCCGCCCGCGCCUAUAAAGCCUCCCCGGGCGCACCUCUCUUCGCCCCGCACUCACCCUCACCGGCCAGCCACCGUUCCUUAGCUCCGGCAAGCGUAUCUUCCACCCGCCAUUGCCGCCAGAGCUACGGCCGCCGUGGCCAGCCCACUCCAGCCACCCUCAAGCCCAACCAGUGCUUCGGCUAGCUCCGCCAGUAGCCCGUGAAGCUUGCCAAGCCCUCGGACCAGACCGGACUUCACCGGAGGCCCGAGAUCAACCUCACCGGACUUCGGUCUUCCGCCGCCGCGCGUGGACCGAGCUAUCCAGUGAGUCUCCGCCCGAUUCCUUUCACUCAUGUCUUCUCUGGCAACCCGUGGACCUCCCUGACCUAUUUAAUUGAACUACCUCGCCGUGACCAGGCCGGUCUCCUCGCCGCUGACGAGCAUCCCCGCCUGCGCGCGUGGACCGACCGACUCCGGCCAUCUCCGAUGGCGUUCCGCACACCGUUGUGAUCCCCGCGACCUCCCCUUCGUCCUCGACCACUUCACCGGAACAGUCUCGCCGCCGGUAAGCCCCUCCGCCCUUUUCUUCGCCGCGGCUACUGUUUGAGGUAGAAGAAGGACCUCGGGUUAGGUUCUGUAGAACCCGAGGGGUUUUCUGUAAUGUCAGCGACUCAUGUGAAUAGUAACCUAAGGACUGAUUCGCGAGGAAAACCUAGAAAAAACGCCAGGGACCCCAGUGCAAAGUGGAUUUCCAUUUAAUCAAUUCUGUUAUUCUUUUAAAAUAACCAGAGAACUUAGAAAAUCCAUAACUUGAUGAAAUCUUAAUGAAAAGCUGUCAAACCAAUUUUGCUAGCUCUGGAAUAUUAUGAUCUAUUAUUUAAAAAUAGUGAACCGUGUGCUUUCUGUUCUAAAUUUUAGAGUUUAAAAUUAAAAACAGAAACCCCCUAAACCUUGUUUAAUUAAGGAAAAUUAGUUUUUCUUUUGUGCUGAGCUUAAGAAAAUUUGUAGAUGCUUAUACCUUAAUUAUACACUGUUUAAAAAUAGUAGGAGCCCCAGCAUUAGAGAUUAUGAUGUAGUUAUUCAUUUAAAGCCAUUUUGUCCAAAACUUAGAGAAAAUCAGAAAAGCAUUAGAAAAUGUUGAACAGUGAUUAGUAAUAUUUUUCCUAGUUUACUUAUGCAACAAAGAACCUAGGAAAAAUGCAGAGACCAUUAAUUAGGACCAGUUUCUAAUUAAGAUGCUUUAAUUAGCCUUAUGAAGACUGAAAAUCAAUUAUUAGGAUUACAAAACUAUAACCAAAGUGGUUAACAAAAAUCCAGUGAACUCAUAACCACCAGAGCCCCACUACAAAAAUACAGAGCACCCCAGCCUAACUUUUUAAGUAAGGAAAAUAAAUACAAAGUGGUAAUAAGGCAUUUUCCCAAUAAAUCAUAAACAACCUCAAAUAAUGUGGCAUUGGGCAACCAAAAUUUGCUAAGUCCAUGAUGAGAUAAACCACCAGAGAAAAAUACAAACCCAUGAAAAAGAAGUGAACCCAUGCCUUUUGCUAGUAAUUUGUGAGAAAGGCCAUUUGACUUAAAUAAUGCAAACCACCCCUUCCCUUAAGCAAAAAGAAGCCAAACUUCAGAAUGAUUGCUCUUGCGCAAAAUACCAACUAAGAAGAAUAAGAACUCUGUUGUUUGAUGUUUUUCAAAUAUAGUGGUAGUAGAAAGCACCUAUUUGGCUAAAACUUGAGAAAACCAUAAGAAAAUAAUUAAAGGGUAUUAGUAACUAGAAAAUUGUAUCAAGUCAUGUUAUGACACCUAAAAGCCAGCAAAAAUAAGUUUUAAAGAAUUACCCACUGUUAAAUAAUAGUUGUAGUUCAAAGUACCCCUUCUGCCCUAAAAUUUGGUAAUUUUGUCCAGAGAAAACCAUUCACUUUCUGAACCCCAAAUUUUGUGACAGAGAAUCAUACACCAGUAACAAGCCACUGUAAUUUUUGCAGAAUUUUUAGAAUUUUAUAAAAGCAACUUGUAGUUCAAACCUACUCCAAAACAUUAAAGAGAAUAAAAGAAAAGAGAAGAAGGAAUAAACCUCAUCCCAUUAAAACUAACCCAAUUUACCAAGUAUACCACUAAAGGGUUUUACAUAAGCAAGGUUAACUUGUUUAAAUUCAAAAAAGACCAUACAUCUUUAAAGUUGUAAAUUCUAAAGCACAUAUCAUAUCAUGCAUGUAUCUUACGCAUUGCAUUCAUUAGAUUGUAAUCUUGCCGACGGAGAGUACGUGCUCAUCCCCGAGCAAGGACCUGUCCAAGAGGAGGACCAGGAGCAGGCUUCAAAGGCUGCUAUUGAGGAUCUCCCCGCAGCCCCAGCAAUUGAAGGCAAGCCCCGGUUUUAUGCAUAACCAUGUUAUUAUAUGCUACUUUACUACACUUAAUGCUUGUAGGAUUGCAAUGUGCACUUAAGUGUAGGAGUUGCUUGAAACCUCUAGUUGCAUGAACUUAGGAUUCCUUUUUGAGAUGAAUACUAGUAUGCUAGGUCGAGUAGCUGCUUGCUAAUCAGGAUCUCGGUAGAAGUCGAGUGAUUUUUCUAGCACUCGCGCGAGGUCAGGAAUUGAUUGUAUUCAUCUUGAUAAUGGGAUAUAUGUUGGUCCGUGGACUUGGAUCCAGGGAGGAUGCCUUGUCCAUGAGACGGGAAAAAUGAAUUAAGGAUUAAUGUGUGGAUACCUGAGUCAAGCUUUUGAACGUACUAAGCACAUGCCGGGAAAAAUGGUAACCGGUAAACCUAGUACCUGAGUGAAGCCGGGCGCGGACUUUAUCCCUCAUGCGACCUGAGACAGGGUCUCCCAUGCUAGCUAUGGUGGGUACAAGUGCGGUCACUGCACGGCGGCAGCCGAGGUCAGUGGAGCAUUGUAUGCCAAGGCGGUGAGGCCUGGACGCGAACGGGGAAUCGAUGGGGACGGUUGUCAUGUGUGGGGACGGAGUACCCUGACAUGCCGUGUGUUUAGGUUUACCUUGCAAGGUUUUAAAACUCGAUUCGAAUCGUCUGCUUCUCGCAGCUAAUGAGACUGCUUGAUUCCUUGUACUGCAUCGAGUAAGAAGUGAAAUGUGGAUUACAUGAGAUAACUUGUUGAUUGAGCUAAUUGCUUGUUACCAUGUAUGCUUAGAAGGAGCAAAUCUAGCUAAGUUAAUGAUGGUAGAACUUGAAAAGCUAAAAAUUGAUUUUAGAAACAGCUAGUGCUUUUGGCAAACCAAACCCCUCAGCCAAACAGCUGCAUAGUCUAGAGGUAGAGGAGUAGACUCCUCACACCGGUUAAGUCUAGCUGAGUAUUAGUAUACUCAGCCUUGCUUGUGGCACCAUUUUUGCAGGUACCAUGCAGGAUGUAGUUGAUGGUGUGACUUGGCCUACCACCCUGCCACCGGGUUGGACGGUCGAGUGGGAUGUUGCUCCGGCAGGAGAGGAGCAUGAGGAGUAGUGGGCUAGGCCUUGCCCAUUUCCUCAUUACCGAUGACAUCGAUUAUCCGUUGCACUUUAUUUUGUGAACUUUAUGGCUACUCAAGAACUCCGAUUUAUGUAAUAACUCAGCACUUAAUUUGAGGUUUCCUGUUUUAUUGUAUUUCUUCUGUGACUCACCUUCGAGUGAGAUUGUGGAAUUUGAUCCUGGUUAAGUGGCUCUAUCAGACUAGAUCUGAGGGACUGACGGGUUAUUCCGGUUUAAGUGCGUUACGGCCCCUGAGGCGUGACUUAGGCACUUAAGCUAGAAUAAUUCGGGUGGUUCUGCCACAGAGAUGCCCUGGCAUCAGGAUGACAUUGGCUUCCAAAGGGGAGACAAUGUCAAACUUAGUGCCCCUCCUAAAAGAUUGUCUAAUUUUGUUAAGGGCAAGGCUCCCAUGCCUCAGGAUAACGAGGGUUACAUUUUGUACCCUGCCGGUUAUCCCGAGAGCAAAAUUAGGAGGAUUCACUCUAGGAAGUCUCACUCUGGCCCUAACCAUGCUUUCAUGUAUAAGGGUGAGACAUCUAGUUCUAGGCAACCAACCCGUGCUAAGUUGCCUAAGAAGAGAAUUCCUUAUGCAUCAAAUGAUCAUGACAUUUCAUUCAAAACUUUUGAUGCAUCAUAUGUUUUAACUAACACAUCCAGCAAGGUAGUUGCCAAGUUUGUUGGGGGCAAGCACAAGGGGUCAAAGACUUGUGUUUGGGUACCCAAAGUUCUUGUUUCUAAUGCCAAAGGACCCAAAACCGUUUGGGUACCUAAAGUCAAGAACUAAACUUGUUUUGUAGGUUUAUGCAUCCGGGGGCUCAAGUUGGAUCAUCGAUAGCGGGUGCACAAACCACAUGACAGGGGAGAAGAAGAUGUUCUCCUCCUACGAUAAAAACCAAGAUCCCCAACGAGCGAUCACAUUCGGGGAUGGAAACCAAAGUUUGGUCAAAGGAUUGGGUAAAAUUGCUAUAUCUCCUGAUCAUUCUAUUUCCAAUGUUUUUCUUGUAGAUUCAUUAGAUUACAAUUUGCUUUCUGUAUCUCAAUUAUGCAAAAUGGGUUACAACUGUCUUUUCACUGAUGUAGGUGUCACUGUCUUUAGAAGGAGUGAUGAUUCAAUAGCUUUUAAAGGUGUGUUAGAGGGUCAGCUAUACUUAGUAGAUUUUGAUAGAGCUGAACUCGACACAUGCUUAAUUGCUAAGACUAACAUGGGUUGGCUCUGGCACCGCCGACUAGCUCAUGUUGGGAUGAAGAAUCUUCAUAAGCUUCUAAAGGGAGAGCACAUUUUAGGACUAAACAAUGUUCAUUUUGAGAAAGACAGGGUUUGUAGCGCAUGCCAAGCAGGAAAGCAAGUUGGUGCCCAUCAUCCACAUAAGAACAUCAUGACGACCGACAUGCCGCUUGAGUUACUCCACAUGGAUCUAUUCGGCCCGAUUGCUUACAUAAGCAUCGACGGGAGUAAGUAUUGUCUUGUAAUAGUGGAUGAUUAUUCUCGCUUCACUUGGGUGUUCUUUUUGCAGGAAAAAUCUCAAACCCAAGAGACCUUAAAGGGAUUCUUGAGACGGGCUCAAAAUGAGUUCGGCUUAAGGAUCAAGAAAAUUAGAAGCGACAACGGGACGAAGUUCAAGAACUCACAAAUUGAAGGCUUCCUUGAGGAGGAGGGCAUCAAGCAUGAGUUCUCUUCUCCCUACACGCCACAACAAAAUGGUGUAGUGGAGAGGAAGAAUCGAACUCUAUUGGACAUGGCAAGGACCAUGCUUGAUGAGUACAAGACACCGGAUCGGUUUUGGGCCGAGGCGGUUAACACCGCUUGCUACGCCAUCAACCAGUUAUAUCUACACCGAAUCCUCAAGAAGACAUCCUAUGAACUCCUAACCGGUAAAAAGCCCAAUAUUUCAUAUUUUAGAGUUUUUGGUAGCAAAUGCUUUAUUCUUAUCAAAAGAGGUAGAAAAUCUAAAUUUGCUCCUAAAACUGUAUAAGGCUUUUUACUAGGAUAUGAUUCAAACACAAGGGCAUAUAGAGUCUUUAACAAGUCCUCGGGACUAGUUGAAGUUUCUUGUGACGUUGUGUUUGAUGAAACUAACGGCUCUCAAGUAGAGCAAGUUGAUCUUGAUGAGAUAGGUGAUGAAGAGGCUCCGUGCAUCGCGCUAAGGAACAUGUCCAUUGGGGAUGUGUGUCCUAAGGAAUCCAAAGAGUCUCCAAAUGCACAAGAUCAACCAUCCUCCUCCAUGCAAGCAUCUCCACCAACUCAAAAUGAGGAUGAAGCUCAAGAUGAUGAAGUAGAAGAUCAAGCAAAUGAGCCACCUCAAGAUGAUGACAAUGAUCAAGGGGGAGAUGCAAAUGAUCAAAACAAGGAGGAUGAAGAACAAAGGCCGCCACACCCAAGAGUCCAUCAAGCAAUUCAACGAGAUCACCCCGUCGACACCAUUCUCGACGACAUUCAUAAGGGGGUAACCACGAGAUCUCGUGUUGCACAUUUUUGUGAGCAUUACUCUUUUGUUUCCUCUAUUGAGCCACACAGGGUAGAGGAAGCACUACAAGAUUCGGAUUGGGUGGUGGCGAUGCAAGAGGAGCUCAACAACUUCACUAGCAAUGAGGUAUGUCAUUUAGUUCCACGUCCUAAUCAAAAUGUUGUAGGAACCAAAUGGGUCUUCCGCAACAAGCAAGAUGAGCAUGGUGUGGUGACAAGGAACAAAGCUCGACUUGUGGCCAAAGGAUACUCCCAAGUCGAAGGUUUGGAUUUUGGUGAAACCUAUGCACCUGUAGCUAGGCUUGAGUCAAUUCGCAUAUUAUUAGCCUAUGCUACUUACCAUGGCUUUAAGUUUUAUCAAAUGGACGUGAAAAGUGCCUUCCUUAAUGGACCAAUCAAGGAAGAGGUCUAUGUUGAGCAGCCUCCCGACUUUGAAGAUAGUGAGUACCCUAACCAUGUCUAUAAACUCUCUAAGGCGCUUUAUGGGCUCAAGCAAGCCCCAAGAGCAUGGUAUGAAUGCCUUAGAGAUUUCCUUAUCACUAAUGGCUUCAAAGUUGGAAAGGCCGAUCCUACUCUAUUCACUAAAACUCUUGAAGAUGACUUGUUUGUAUGCCAAAUUUGUGUUGAUGAUAUUAUAUUUGGGUCUACUAACGAGUCUACAUGUGAAGAAUUUAGUAGGAUCAUGACACAAAAAUUCGAGAUGUCUAUGAUGGGGGAGUUGAAGUAUUUCUUAGGAUUUCAAGUAAAGCAACUUCAAGAGGGCACCUUCCUAAGCCAAACAAAGUAUACUCAAGAUAUUCUAAGCAAGUUUGGAAUGAAGGAUGCCAAACCCAUCAAGACACCCAUGGGAACCAAUGGGCAUCUCGACCUCGACGAAGGAGGUAAAUCCGUUGAUCAAAAGGUAUACCAGUCGAUGAUAGGAUCUUUACUCUAUUUAUGUGCAUCUCGACCGGAUAUUAUGCUUUCCGUAUGCAUGUGUGCAAGAUUCCAAGCCGACCCUAAGGAAGCUCACCUUAAGGCCGUAAAACAAAUCUUGAGAUAUUUAGUUUAUACUCCUAAGUUUGGGCUUUGGUAUCCUAGGGGAUCCACAUUUGAUUUGAUUGGUUAUUCGGAUGCCGAUUGGGCGGGGUGUAAAAUCAAUAGGAAGAGCACAUCGGGGACUUGCCAGUUCUUGGGAAGAUCCUUGGUGUCUUGGGCUUCAAAGAAGCAAAAUUCCGUUGCUCUUUCUACCGCCGAAGCCGAGUACAUUGCCGCAGGCCAUUGUUGCGCGCAACUACUUUGGAUGAGGCAAACCCUUUGGGACUACGGUUACAAAUUGACCAAAGUUCCUCUUCUAUGUGAUAAUGAGAGUGCAAUCCGCAUGGCGGAUAAUCCUGUUGAGCAUAGCCGCACUAAACACAUAGCCAUUCGGUAUCACUUUUUAAGGGAUCACCAACAAAAGGGAGAUAUCGAGAUUUCAUAUAUUAACACUAAAGAUCAAUUGGCCGAUAUCUUUACCAAGCCUCUUGAUGAACAAACUUUUAACAAACUUAGGCAUGAGCUAAAUAUUCUUGAUUCUAGGAACUUCUUUUGUUGAUUUGCACACAUAGCUAAUUUAUAUACCUAUUGAUCAUGUAUCUUUCAUAUGCUAUGACUAAUAUGUUUUCAAGUCUAUUUCAAACCAAGUCAUAGGUAUAUUGAAAGGGAAUUGGAGUCUUCGGCGAAGACAAAGGCUUUCACUCCGUAACUCAUCCUUCGCCGUCGCUCCGGGCAACGCUCCAUCUUUGAGGGGGAGAGCAUAAGUCCCAAGCAAAAGGACUCCGCCUCUGGUAUAAUCUUCACUCAUUUAUUUAUGAUCAAAGGGGGAGAAAGUAAUUCUAAGGGCUCUAAUGACUCCGAUUUUGGCGAUUCAUGCCAAAGGGGAGAAAGUAUUAGCCCAAAGCAAAAGGACCGCACCACCACCUAAUUUUAAAAGCGUUUGUCAAUUGGUAUGAUUCUCAAUUGAUAAAUUUGUAAUUGGAAUCAUAUUGUGUUCAAAAGGGGGAGAUAGUAGAAUUUUCAAAAUUGAUAUCUUAAAACCCUCUUGAACACUAAGAGGAGAAUUUCAUUUAGGGGGAGUUUUGUUUAGUCAAAGGAAAGCAUUUGAAACAAGAGGAGAAAAUUUUAAAUCUUGACAAUGCUUCGAAAAAUCUUAUUUAUUUACCUUUGACUAUUUGCAAAAGAAUUUUGAAAAAGAUUUACAAAAGAAAUUGCAAAAACAAAACAUGUGGUGCAAGCGUGGUCCAAAAUAUUAAGAAUGAAAGAAACAAUCCAUGCAUAUAUUAUAAAUAUUUAUAUGGGCUCAAUUCCAAGCAACCUUUGCACUUACAUCAUGCAAACUAGUUCAAUUAUACACUUCUAUAUUUGCUUUGGUUUGUGUUGGCAUCAAUCACCAAAAAGGGGGAGAUUGAAAGGGAAUUAGGCUUACACCUAUUUCCUAAUUGUUUUUGGUGGUUGAAUUUCCCAACACAAAUAAAUUGGACUAACUAGUUUGCUCUAGUGUAUAAGUUAUACAGGUGCCAAAGGUUCACACUUAGCCAAUAAAAAGAUCAAGUAUUGGGUUCAACAAAAGAGCAAAGGGUCAACCGAAGGCACCUCUGGUCUGGCGCACCGGACUGUCCGGUGUGCCACCGGACAGUGUCCAGUGCACCACCGGACAGUGUCCGGUGCACCAGAGGACUCCAACUCAAACUCGUCACCUUCGAAAAAAUCCAGAGGCGCUCCGCUAUAAUUCACCGGACUGUCCGGUGUACACCGGACUAUCCGGUGUACACCGGACAGUGUCCGGUGCUCCAAGGAACAUCGCCUCAGGAACUCGCCAGCUUCGGGAAUUCGCAACGGCUAGUCCACUAUAAUUCACCGGACAUGUCCGGUGUGACAACAGAGCAACUGAUAUUUCGGCGCCAACGGCUACCUGCAGCGCAUUGAAUGCGCGCCAGCGGGCGCAGAAGUCAGGCACGCCCAUACUGGCGCACCGGACACUCUACAGUACAUGUCCGGUGCGCCACCGGACAUCCAGGCGAGCCCAGAAGACAGAGCUCCAACGGUCGGAACCCAAUGGCUUUGGUGACGUGGCUGGCGCACCAGACAUGUCCGGUGUGCACCAGACUGUCCGGUGCACCAUACGACAGUCAGCCCCACCAAACGGCUAGUUUGGUGGUUGGGGCUAUAAAUACCCCCAACCACCCACCAUUCAUUGCAUCCAAGUUUUCAUACUUCCAACCACUUACAAGAGCUAGGCAUUCAAUUCUAGACACACUCAAGAGAUCAAAUCCUCUCCCAAAUUCCACACAAAGCUUUAGUGACUAGUGAGAGAGAUUUGCUUGUGUUCUUUCGAGCUCUUGCGCUUGGAUUGCUUUCUUCUUUCUUGAUUCCUUAUUGCGAUCAAACUCACUUGUAACUGAGGCAAGAGACACCAAUCUUGUGGUGGUCCUUGUAGGAACUUUGUGUUCCAAGUGAUUGAGAAGAGAAAGCUCACUCGAUCCGAGGGAUCGUUUGAGAGAGGGAAACGGUUGAAAGAGACCCGGUCUUUGUGACCACCUCAACGGGGAGUAGGUUUGCGAGAACCGAACCUCGGUAAAACAAAUCCUUGUGUCUCACUGCUUUACUCGCUUGCGAUUUGUUUUUACGCCCUCUCGCGGACUCGUUUAUAUUUCUAACGCUAACCCGGCUUGUAGUUGUGAUUAUUUUUGAGAAUUUCAGUUUCGCCCUAUUCACCCCCCUCUAGGCGACUAUCAACCUCGGAGGAGCCUCCGCCUCGCCCGACCUAGGGCUCGGACCGACCACGUCACAGGGGGGGCCAUCAUUACCCUACCCCUAGCUAGCUUAGGCUACAGGGAACAAGACCGGCGUCCCAUCUGGCUCGCCCCGGUAGACAAAUAAUGAUGGCGCCCCGCGUGCUCCAUGAUGACGGCGACUCUUAGCCCCUUACGGAAGCAAGGAGACGUCAGCAAGGAUUCGACAGCCCCGACAACUGUCCUUCCACAGGGCCCAAGCGCUCCUCCGACGGCCACGACAUCACAUGAACAGGGUGCCAAAACCUCUCCGACUGCCACGACGACAUGUACUUAGGGCUCUAGCUCCUCUCUGCGAGACAUGUUAGCACACUGCUACACCCCCCAUUGUACACCUGGACCCUCUCCUUACGCCUAUAAAAGGAAGGUCCAGGGCUCUCGUACGAGAAGGUUGGCCACACGGGAGAACGGGCCGACGCAUAAGGCUCUCGCUCUCUCUCGCUCUCUCCCACGCGAACGCUUGUAACCCCCUACUGCAAGCGCAUCCAUCCACCCUGGGCGCAGGACAACACGAAGGCCGCGGGUUCCCCUUACUGUUCUCCCCCUUUUGUGUCCCAUCUCGCGCCGACCCAUCUGGGCUGGGACACGUAGCGACAAUUUACUCGUCGGUCCAGGGACCCCCGGGGUCAAAACGCCGACAGUUGGCGUGCCAGGUAGGGGCCUACUGCGUGUUGACGAACAGCUUCCCGUCAAGCUCCAGAUGGGUAGUCUCCAGCAACCUUUCCAACCCGGGACGAUGCUCCGUUUCGGGAGUCUUGAGUUCAUGUCCCUCGACGGCAGCUAUGACAUGAUACUCCUUCCUCCGCCGCGCGACAGCGACAAUGGUGGCCGUCAGCCCGCCCGCCGGCGGCGGAAUCAACGACGUCUUCCCCACAUGGCGGAAGGACAACAUCCGGGUUUGUCCCGUCACCUCCCCCACCGACGGAGGAGGAGGCGGGGCAACCAUGGCCAAGCAGGAGGCAGCACCUCAUCGGCUGUCGAGCAAGUCGACGACGCCGGCGCCCCAGCGGGGGACACGUCGGACUUCGACCUUGCGUCUGAGACGAAGACGAGUGCCGUUUCCCCGCAACAUGCCAACCCCAAGCAGACGAACGACGCCAGCACGCUCGCGAAGGACUUGCUUUGCGUCGCCCUCGUACCUGAGACAAUGGUGCAGUCCACCCCUGACGCGACUUCGUCACCGCCCGUCGACCAAGAGGUACCGACCGAUUCCCAUCUCGUGCCUUUUGGAUUCAGCUUCGACCCACCAAGCAACCUCGCUUCGGUGGAAGCCUUCAUAGAGGCAUGUACCAACCCUCCAGGGCACCAUAUGCGAUCGCCCUGGGACAGACUGACGGCCGUCUCGACCUACGGACCCUCGGGUUCCGAGGAAGAUGACGAGACCGACUUUUGUUGGGAUUUCUCCGGGCUCGGUAACCCCAGGGCCAUGCGGGACUUCAUGACUGCAUGUGACACUGCCUCUCCGAUUGUUCCGAUGGUAGCCGCAGCUUCGGCGACGAGGACUGCAGCCCAAGUCGUGAAUGUUUCCACGUCGAUCUAGGGGGUCCCGGCGAAGGCAACCAUCUUGGUAUGCCGGAAAACGGCGAUCCCCCUAGGCCUACGCCUCGCGUUGACAUCCUUCGGGAGCUAGCUGUGGUCCCAGUCCCUGCGGGGGGUCAGGACGCACAGCUCGAGCAAAUCCGCGAGAUGCAGGCCAGGCUCGACGAGGGAGCAGGAACACUUGAGCAGUUCCGGCGGAACAUCGAGCAGGAAUGGGCAGACCAAGCUCCGACCGGAGAAGCGCGUCAUCUACCCCAGGGCAUCCAGCACCGCAUUGCCGACGACAUCAGGGCAAGGCCGCCACCGGCUUCCAGUGGGGUCGGCCAGAACCUGGCUGCAGCAGCAAUACUACUCCGCGCGAUGCCGGAACCAUCGACCACCGAAGGGCGGCGUAUCCAGGGAGAGCUCAAGAAUCUCCUGGAGGAUGCCGCAGUCCGACGGGCCGAAAGCUCUGCCUCCCGAAGGCAGGGGUACCCCUCGAAGCAUCGUGCCGCGACUUCCCGAUUCAUGCGGGAAGCCUCGAUCCACACCGGGCACACGUGGAACACCGCGCCUGCGGCCCCGGGUCGCCUCGGCAACGAGCACCACCACCACAACCGUCGAGCCCACCUCGACGAGAGGGUGCGCCGAGGCUACCACCCCAGGCGUGGGGGACGCUAUGACAACGGGUGGAUCGGAGACCCUCGCCCGAACCACCCGGUCCGCAGGCUUUCAGCCGGGCCAUACGACGGGCGCCGUUCCCGACCCGGUUCCGAACCUCGACUACCAUCACAAAGUACUCAGGGGAGACGAGGCCAGAACUGUGGCUCGCGGACUACCGACUGGCUGGCCAGCUGGGUGGAACGGACGAUGACAACCUCAUCAUCCGCAACCUCCCCCUGUUCCUCUCCGACACCGCUCGAGCCUGGCUGGAACAUCUGCCUCCGGGGCAGAUCUCCAACUGGGACGACCUGGUCCAAGCCUUCGCCGGCAACUUUCAGGGCACGUACGUGCGCCCUGGGAACUCCUGGGAUCUCCGAAGCUGCCACCAGCAGCCGGGAGAGUCUCUCCGGGACUACAUCCGGCGAUUCUCGAAGCAGCGCACCGAGCUGCCCAACGUCACCGACUCGGACGUCAUCGGCGCGUUCCUCGCUGGCACCACCUGCCGCGACCUGGUGAGCAAGCUGGGUCGCAAGACCCCCACCAGGGCGAGCGAGCUGAUGGACAUCGCCACCAAGUUCGCCUCUGGCCAGGAGGCGGUUGAGGCCAUCUUCCGGAAGGACAAGCAGCCCCAGGGCUGCCAGCCGGAAGACGUCCCCGAGGCGUCCAUUCAGCGCGGCACCAAGAAGAAGAACAAGAAGAAGUCGCAAGCGAAACGCGACGCCACCGACGCGGACCUUGUCGCCGCCGUCGAGUACAAGAACCCUCAGAAACCUCCUAGAGGUGCCAAUCUCUUCGAUAAGAUGCUCAAGGAGCCGUGCCCCUAUCAUCAGGGGUACGUCAAGCACACCCUUGAGGAGUGCGUCAUGCUUCGGCGCCACUUUCACAAGGCCAGGCCACCAGCGGAAGGUGGCAGGGCCCACAACAACGACAAGAAGGAGGAUCACAAGGCAGAGGAGUUCCCCGAGGUCCACGACUGCUUCAUGAUCUACGGUGGGCAAAUGGCGAACGCCUCGGCUCGGCACCGCAAGCAAGAGCGUCGGGAGGUCUGCUCGGUAAAGGUGGCGACGCCAGUCUACCUAGACUGGUCCGACAAGCCCAUCACCUUCGACCAGGGCGACCACCCCGACCGCGUGCCGAGCCCGGGGAAAUAUCCGCUCGUUGUCGACCCUGUCAUCGGCAACGUCAGGCUCACCAAGGUCCUCAUGGACGGAGGCAGCAGCCUCAACAUCAUCUACGCCGAGACCCUCGGGCUCCUGCAGAUCGAUCUGUCCUCGAUCCGGACAGACGCGGCACCUUUUCACGGGAUCAUCCCCGGGAAACGCGUCCAACCCCUCGGACAACUCGAUCUGCCCGUCUGCUUCGGGACUCCCUCCAACUUCCGAAGGGAAACCCUCACGUUCGAGGUGGUCAGGUUCCGAGGAACCUACCACGCAGUACUGGGGAGGCCAUGCUACGCCAAGUUCAUGGCCGUCCCCAACUACACCUACCUCAAGCUCAAAAUGUUGGGCCCCAACGAGGUCAUCAUCGUCGGCCCCACGUACCGACACGCGUACGAAUGCGACGUGGAGUGUGUGGAGUACGCCGAGGCCCUCGCCGAAUCCGAGGCCCUCAUCGCCGACCUGGAGAGCCUCUCCAAGGAGGCGCCAGAUGUGAAGCGCCACGCCGGCAACUUCGAGCCAGCUGAGACGGUCAAAUCCGUCCCUCUUGACCCCAGCAACGACGCCUCCAAGCAGAUGCAGAUCGGCUCCGAGCUCGACCCCAAAUCGGAAGCAGUGCUCGUCGACUUUCUCCGCGCGAAUGCCGAAGUCUUUGCGCAGAGUCCCUCGGACAUGCCUGGCAUACCGAGGGAUGUCGCCGAGCACUCGCUGGAUAUCCGAGCAGGAGCCCGACCCGUGAAGCAGCCUCUAUGCCGAUUCGACAAAGAAAAAUGUAGAGCCAUAGGCGAGGAGAUCCACAAGCUGAUGGCCGCAGGGUUCAUCAAAGAGGUAUUCCAUCCCGAAUGGCUUGCCAACCCUGUGCUUGUGAGAAAGAAAGGAGGGAAAUGGCGGAUGUGUGUAGACUACACUGGUCUAAACAAAGCAUGUCCAAAGGUUCCCUACCCUCUGCCUCGCAUCGAUCAAAUCGUGGAUUCCACUGCUGGGUGCGAAACCCUGUCAUUCCUCGACGCCUACUCAGGGUAUCACCAAAUCAAGAUGAAAGAGUCCGACCAGCUCGCGACUUCUUUCAUCACACCAUUUGGCAUGUACUGCUACGUUACUAUGCCAUUUGGUUUGAGGAAUGCGGGUGCGACAUACCAAAGGUGCAUGAACCACGUGUUUGGCGAACACAUUGGUCGAACGGUCGAGGCUUACGUCGAUGACAUCGUAGUCAAGACGAGGAAAGCCUUCGACCACCUCUCCGACCUUGAAACGACAUUCCGGUGUCUCAAGGCGAAGGGCGUAAAACUCAAUCCCGAGAAGUGCGUCUUCGGAGUCCCCUGAGGCAUGCUCUUGGGGUUCAUCGUCUCUGAGCGGGGCGUCGAGGCCAACCUGGAGAAAAUCACGGCCAUCACCAACAUGGGGCCCAUCAAGGACUUGAAAGGCGUACAGAGGGUCAUGGGAUGCCUUGCGGCUCUGAGCCGCUUCAUCUCGCGCCUCGGCGAAAGAGGCCUACCUCUAUACCGCCUCUUAAGGAAGAUCGAGUGCUUCACUUGGACCCCCAAGGCCGAGGAAGCCCUCGAGAACCUGAAGGCGCUCCUUACGAACGCACCCAUCCUGGUGUCUCCCGCUGCCGGAGAAGCCCUCUUGAUCUACGUCACCGCUACCACUCAGGUGGUCAGCGCCGCGAUCAUGGUCAAAAGACGAGAAGAAGGGCAUGCAUUGCCCGUCCAGAGGCCGGUCUACUUCAUCAGUGAGGUACUGUCCGAGACCAAGAUCCGCUACCCACAAAUUCAGAAGCUGCUGUACGCGGUGAUUCUGACGCGGCGGAAGUUGCGACACUACUUCAAGUCUCAUCUGGUGACUGUGGUGUCAUCCUUCCCCCUGGAGGAGAUCAUCCAGUGCCGAGAGGCCUCGGGUAGGAUUGCAAAGUGGGCGGUGGAAAUCAUGGGCGAGACAAUCUCGUUCGCCCCUCGGAAGGCCAUCAAGUCCCAAGUCUUGGCGGACUUUGUGGCUGAAUGGGUCGACACCCAGCUUCCGGCAGCUUCGAUCCAACCGGAACUCUGGACCAUGUUUUUCGACGGGUCGCUGAUGAAAACAGGGGCAGGCGCGGGCCUGCUCUUCAUCUCGCCCCUCGGGAAGCACCUCCGCUACGUGCUGCGCCUCCAUUUCCCGGCGUCCAACAACGUGGCUGAGUACGAGGCUCUGGUCAACGGGUUGCGCAUCGCCAUCGAGCUAGGGGUUCGACGCCUUGACGCUCGCGGUGACUCGCAGCUUGUCAUCGACCAAGUCAUGAAGAACUCCCACUGCCGUGACCCGAAGAUGGAAGCCUACUGCGACGAGGUUCGGCGCCUGGAGGACAAGUUCUAUGGGCUCGAGGUCAACCACGUCGCCCCGCGGUACAACGAGAUUGCGGACGAGCUGGCGAAGAUAGCUUCGGCACGAACAACGGUUCCCCCGAACGUCUUCUCCUGGGACCUACAUCAACCCUCAGUCAAGACAAACUACAUGCCCGAGCCCGAGAAGGCCUCGGCCCGGCCCGAGGCACCCUCGGCCCCGCCCGAGGCACCCUCGGCUACCGAGGGUGAGGCUCUGCGCAUCGAGGAAGAGCGGAAUGGGGUCACGCCUAAUCGAAACUAGCAGACCCCGUACCUGCAAUAUCUCCACCGAGGAGAGCUACCCCUCGACAGAGCCGAAGCUCGGCGACUGGCGCGGCGCGCCAAGUCAUUCAUCUUGAUGGGUGACGGGAAGGAGCUCUACCACCGCAGCCCCUCCGGCAUCCUCCAGCGAUGCAUAUCCAUCGCCGAAGGCCAGGAGCUCUUACAAGAAAUACACUCGGGGGCUUGCGGUCAUCACGCAGCGCCUCGAGCCCUUGUUGGAAACGCUUUCCGAUAAGGUUUCUACUGGCCGACCGCGGUAGCCGACACCACUAGAAUUGUCCACACCUGCCAAGGGUGUCAAUUCUAUGCAAGGCAGACGCACCUACCCGCUCAGGCUCUGCAAACAAUACCCAUCACCUGGCCGUUUGCUGUGUGGGGUCUGGACCUCGUUGGUCCCUUGCAGAAGGCACCCGGGGGCUACACGCACCUGCUGGUCGCCAUCGACAAAUUCUCCAAGUGGAUCGAGGUUCGACCCCUAAACAGCAUCAGGUCCGAACAGGCGGUGGCGUUCUUCACCAACAUCAUCCAUCGCUUUGGGGUCCCGAACUCCAUCAUCACCGACAACGACACCCAGUUCACCGACAGAAAGUUCCUGGACUUCUGCGAGGAUCACCACAUCCGGGUGGACUGGGCCGCCGUGGUUCACCCCUUGACGAAUGGGCAGGUAGAACGUGCUAACGGCAUGAUUCUGCAAGGACUCAAGCCGAGGAUCUACAAUGACCUCCACAAGUUCGGCAGGCGAUGGAUGAAGGAACUCCCCUUGGUGGUCUGGAGCUUGAGGACGACGCCAAGUCGAGCCACGGGUUUCACGCCGUUCUUUCUAGUCUAUGGAGCCGAGGCCAUCUUGCCCACUGACUUAGAAUACGGUUCCCCAAGGACGAGGGCCUACGACGACCGACGCAACCAGACCAACCCAGAAGACUCACUGGACCAGCUGGAAGAGGCUCGGGACAUGGCCUUACUACACUCGGUGCAGUAUCAGGAGUCCCUGCGACGCUACCACGCCCGAGGGGUUCGGUCCCGAGACCUCCAGGUGGGCGACUUGGUGCUUCGGCUGCGACAAGACGCCCGAGGGCGCCACAAGCUCAUGCCUCCCUGGGAAGGGCCAUUCAUCAUCGCCAAGAUUUUGAAGCCUAGAACAUACAAGCUGGCCAACAGUCAAGGCGAGGUCUACAGCAACGCUUGGAACAUCCGACAGCUACGUCGCUUCUACCCUUAAGAUGUUUUCAAGUCGUUCAUACACCUCGUUUACAUACGCCAAUAAAGCCUAACCAUCAAGGAAGGGUCAACCUUGCCUCGGCAAAGCCCGACCCUCCCUCGGGGGCUAGAAGGGGGAACCCCCUCUGCGUCAAAUUUUUCCUCGGAAAAAGUCUUUCUGCCAGAAUAUCUUUCGUGCUUUUCGACUACUUCAGUAGUGGGAUCAUGAAAACGACGGAGUACACGUAAGCAGGCAAGGCCGACCGAGCCGAGGGACUCCUACGCCUCCGGGAUACGGAUACCUCACUCAUCGCCUUCUGCGAGAAGUAACUCGCGUUCGGAUGAGCGAUCCUGCUGACCGAACAAGCCUUAACACUCAAAAAACUUUCUGCCGAAACGGUUUUUUGGGUUUUCUCGGCUACGUCGAUAAUAGAAUCCCGCGGACGAGCAAGAGUACACGUAAGCGGCAAGGCCGACCGAGCCGAGGGAUUCCUACGCCUCCGGGAUACGGAUACCUCACUCAUCACCUUCCGUGAGAAGUAACUCUAGCUCGGAUAAACGAUUCUGCUACCGACGAGCAAGCCCUGAUACUCGAAACAAGAGGAAAAGAAACGCAGCUUUACAACGCGACGACAAUAUGUUUGGGCCUCGACGGCCGCAAAAAACAUACGCACACUACAGAUAAACUGUUCCUGCAGGAUCAGACAUCAGCAGGGGAGCAGCAGCACCCUCGGCGUCAACUCCACCUUCGGCGAAGUCCGACCAAGCCUCGGACGGCAACACGGGCGAAGGAUCUCUGCUCCGAAGGACGACGUCAGCACCACGCUCGGGCCAUCGCCGCUAGGGUCUCCUCCAGGAACCCGGCCCGAGCAGACGGCUCGGCCGGCCGGCCCGAAGCCUUAGCCAGCUGUCCCCCGAGGACACCAGCCCGACUCAUGGCCUCGACAACCCGACCCCGGCACUGGUCCCGCCAGUGAACGGCCCGGCCAGGCUCCGGCCGACGAAGUCUAUUUUUCGAGCCAACUCUGCCUCUGUCCAUGCUGACACCGUUGCCUCCGGCCCCGGCUCAUCGCAGAGCGGCCGAGGGUUUCUUUGACUAAGCAAGUGAAGCCUCGGGCGUCAAGGCCGACCGAGCCGAGGGAUUCCUACGCCUUCGGGAUACGGAUACCUCACUCGUCACCUUCCGCACAGAGCAACUCACAUUUGGUUAAGCGGUUCGGCUAGCCGACAGGCGAGUUCCAGUGCUCGAGAAUGAGGAAAAAACACGGUAUUACACCCAAAAAUACCUACAUGUUCAGGCCCCGACAGCCACAAUGAACAAACACCGGCACUCAAGGUGCCAUUACAAACGGAACUCCGGUUCCACUCCCGCAGGUAUGAACAACCCCCCACAUUGGAGGGCCUGCGGGGCGACGAAACCCCUGGUGGCUCGCCGACGCCUGCUCCGGCAGCAGCAACAACGACCUCUGCUCCGAGUGGCCAAACAACAACAGUGAUGACCUCAGGGCGGACGCUGCUGCGACGAGCUCCUCGCCCACGUCCCCACUCGAGGGGCGAGGACAAGCUAUCAAAGCCAAAGAGCCAGAGGCCCGGAGCGCGGAUGGUGGCAGCGAUCUCGUCGGCAACGAGGACUUCUUCAGCUGCCACCACCUCAACAUCGACGACGGCAGCCAUCUGUCCACCGGUAGAUCCCCACUCGGAUCCUCCCGGACAGGCGAGCACCGACCUCCGCGCAAGAGGCGUCGUACCGAAGCAAAGGCAGGACAACCCAAGAACACGAACGCCGCCCUAGCAGCGCGCGACGUCUUGGGCGGCCCUCCGGUGCGUGCGGCGCGGCGACCGCUCGUACGGCGGGAGGGGGCACCGGGAGCCGAGCUAGAGCCAGCUGAGCCAGCGAGCCCAGCUGUGGCGGAACCGCCCGAAUUAUUCCAGCUUAAGUGCCCAAGUCGCACCCUUAAGGGCAGCAACACACUUAAACAGGAAUAACACGUCAGUCCCUCGGAUCUAGUCCGAUAAAGCCACUUACCAGGAUCGAAUACCACUAGCUCACUCGAAGGUGAGGCACAGAGAAAUACAAUAAAACAUAAUACCACAAAUUUAAUAAGUAUAAUCAGUGAUUACAUUAUCGGAGUUUCAGAAAUAAUAACCAUAAAUUUUAAUGCAGCGGAAAUAACUAACGGAGAAAACCGAGUAACAUGGCGAAGCCUGGCCACGCUACUCCUCCUGGUCCUCUCCUGCGGAAGCAGUAACCCACUCGACCAUCUAUCCCGGUGGCAGGGAUGGAGGCCAAGACACACCAUCAACCAAUCAACCUAAGAAGUACCUGCAAAAAUUAUGCCACAAGCAAGGCUGAGUAUACUAAUACUCAGCUAGACUUACCCGGUGUGAGGAGUCUACUCCUCUACCUCUAGACAUGCAGCUGUUUGGCUGAGGGGUUUGGUUUGCCAAAAGCGCUAGCUGAGUCUAAAAUCAAGUUUUAGCUUUUCAAGUUUUAGUAAGAUCCUUUUUAAACUAGAUGAGUACCUAGCUACUCAUACAUGGUAUCAAACAUUUUUAACAAUCAACAUGUUUUGCCAAGUCAACACAUUUCCACUUGUUACUCAAUGUAGCAGCAUGGAUCAAGCAGUCUCAUUAGCUGCGAGAAACAGACGAUUCGAAUCGAGUUUUUAUCCUUGCAAGGUAAACCUAAACACACGACGUGUAGGGGCACUCCGUCCCCACACACAUCAACCGUCCCCAUCGAUUCCCCGUCAGCAGAUCAGGGCUCACCGCCUUGGCGUACAAUGCCUCACUGACCCCGACUGCCGUCGUGCAGUGACCGCACUUGUACCCACCAUAACCGGAAUGGGAGACCACGUCUUAGGUCGCGUGAGGGGAUAUGUCCACUGCCAGGUUCACUCAGGUACUAGGCUUACCGAUUUACCAUAUUUCUCGGCAUAUGUUUAGUACGUUCAAACGCUUGACUCACGGUACCACACCUUAAUCCUUAUUCCAAUUUCCGUCUCGUAGACAACGCAUCCCCAUGGACCGUUGUCCACAGACCACCAUCAUUAUGAUAUCAAAAUGGAUACAACCAAUUCCUGACCUCGCGCGAGUGCUAGAAAAAUCACUCGACUUCUACCGAGAUCCCUAAUUAAUAAAGCAGCUACUCGACUUAGCAUACUAGUAUCCAUCUCAAAGGGAAUCCUAAGUUCAUGCAACUAAGGUUCCAAACAACUCCUACACUUAAGUGCACAGUACAAGCCUACAAACAUUAAGUGCAGUAAAAUAGUAUAUAUAAACGGUUAUGCAUAAAACCGGGGCUUGCCUUUAAUUUAACACUUAGAUUGUGUUUGCUGGGGUGGCACUCGCUUGGCGAGCAUCCACUAGUCAAGUCCAUCAUUCUUCAGGUCGUCCACCAACUGCAUCUUGUGGUUGGCACCACAUCACUUGCACGAUCGUCAUCUCUCGGUCCUAAAUGAGAUGCAAGAUGCAUAUGUAUGAAUAUACUGAAAGUAGCACAAAAGUAGCACAAGAUAUACAAAGACACAGUGGCGAACUAAACAUUAAUUUGGAAGACACCGUAGACAACCAUACGCUAGCAUUCGUUAUCUACACGUUAUCGGCGUCCAACAUUAACACCUUUAAAAAGACAACACCAUUUUAUUUAUUUACGCACACAACUACGACAUCACAAGUAACCACAUUUACCACGUUCACUUUACUCAUCCAUUAGUUACUUAAUCAUCAAGUUAGUUAAGUACCUAAGUUUGCUACGACUGAUAUGUAGAUAGACUUAGUUGAAAAGGAAUUAGACACUUAAUUUGUGCUUUACAAUUAUUUACUAGGCAAACACUUAUUAGACCUUAACCAAUUUAGUUUACUAAUUUAGCGAGACGUGUACUAAUUACCUAUAUACUUAGGCUCAAUUAUGUUAGUUAUAUUAUCAUUACUGUGUGUUCAACCAAAACCAAAACGAGAAAACAGUCGACUCAAGAAAUACACCACAGAGUAGAGCAAUCCACCAAACAUAAGAAAAUUAGGACAGCAGCACAGUAGCUACUUGUUUCAUUCAUAACUCUUCAAAUAUUAAUCCAAACAUAGCAAACUAGGACUUUCUGGAAAGCUUAAAAUGUGCUCUACAACUUUGGUAUUUUCACCUAAACAAGAUUCAACACUUAGCAAGGUUAAAAGUGCUAACACAAUAGAUCUGUCCAGAUUUGGACAGAUUCAGACUUGCAACUUCAAAAAUUCACAACCACAGAUUCAGACAUCCAAACAAAGUGAUCCUAGACUUUCUGGAAAGCUAAUUAAAUUUUCUACAUAUCAUUUAUAAACAUCUCAAGGUGAUUCAAUGUUUAACUAAGGACAAAAUACACUAGAAGGCUUUGCUGUCCAGAAUUGGACAGAUUCAGUCUUCAGACUUUAAACAUCCAUAACUUAGUCUUCAGAUCACCAAAAAGAGUGAUCCAAGACUUUUUGGAAAGCUUGGAAAAAGCACUACAUAACUUUUAUAAUCACCAAGAAUUGAUUCUAUGUUGAACUGAAUCAAACAAUUCAGAUUUUUGAAAUCUGUUCUGUCAGUGGAUAGAACACAGCAACCAAGUUGUAAAAUUCUUAACUCUUAAACCUUCAGGCCUUUAGUUAUGAAAUUUUAGCAAAAGCAAGAUAAGAAAAGCAUCUACAACUUUCUUAUAAUCUACAAGGACUGAUUCAAACAUUAACUUAAGCAAACAGUACAGUCUCUGAAAUCUGUACAGAAAUUGGACAGAUUCAGUUACUGAAUUUGUAAAAAGCAUAACUCCUAAACUGUCAGACCUAUGGCUGUCAAAUUUUAACACCAGCAAGAUAAUAAAUUUAUCUACCACUUUUCUAUAGCACAUAUCUACAGAAAACACAAUUUGGUUCAUCAAACAAACAACACAAAUAAAAUAGUGUGUGCAGUCCAAAACAACAACUAUAAAUUUUAGCUCCUAUUUACUUCAAGAAUUGUCAUGUUCUAGAGACUGAAAUUUCUCUAACACUUUACUAUUUAUUAGAGUUGAAACAAAUAAAAUAGGACCAACAAGUCACUUACAAAUUUUAUUCGAGUCAUUUCGUGCGCUAGAGUUAUUACCACACAAUUAACAAACACAUGCACCAAAAUAAAGUACUUCGGCACACAUGUCCGACAUCACACAAAAUUGUGAUGAAAUACUAAUAUUUAACUUUAGACCAUCAUGACAUAACCAAUUAAACUCUAAUUGGUAUUAAGGUGUAACUCAAGCAUUUCAUGAAACAUGCAUGAUUUUGUUUUCUCCUAAUUUUCACUAACUCGUGUAAUUAUAAAAGGGGUGUUAUUUUAGCACCAUAUGAAACUAUCUAAUUUGGGGCUAGAAUUUUUAUGAGGCAUAGUUAAUAACAAAUUAUGACUAAUGUAUAAAUUUUACAUGCCCAGGUUUUGUAUUUUAUUUACUACAAAAAUAACAAAUUUUUGAUGCAAUAAAGCAUAUGAGACAAGGUUAAAUCUAAAACUAAUUAUUUUCUGUGGAUGCAUGACCAUAUCAAGUUUUCUUAGGCUACUAUAAUAUCAUACAAGGACAGUGGAACAUCAUUUUCUAUUUUUACAUCCAUAUAUUUUUUAUAAAUCAUUUAAAACUACUUAAGGUGCAUUAAAUAAGUUAAACCACUAACUUAAUCAUACAUGCACAACAAUUCAUGAAAUUUUUACCAGUCACCAAGCAUCACAACAAGAGUCUACUGUAAAAAUUUGAAUCCAUUUGGAGCACUAGAGCUACAGAUCUAAAAAUAACAAGCAAAACAAUCAUCUUUUUCCUAUUUAACAUGUUUUAAUUAACACACCAAGAAAACAGUGAACAACCUAUAAGUUUUAUAUUUUUCUUAGAUGGAGUAUGACAACAUCUAAUUAACAAAACAAGUUUCAUCAUUUUUGGAUUUUUAUAAAUAAAACUAUGGAGAGAAGCAAGUUCAUUUAUUUUGUAAACCAGUUUUUAAAUACGAAUUUCUACAGAAACACUUUUCCACUAAACCAUACCAACAUAUAGAUCCAAUAGUUAGAGCAUUUCAUAAGGAAGCCAACAAAAAAAGUUUCACGAUUUUAGGAGCUCCAAAACUCGAGAUAUGAAUUUUUGAACACAACACAAAAAUCUGCAACUUGUGUACUCAAAUCUCGCCUUGGGCCCACCUGUCAUAGGCACUAGGCGUCUUCUUCAACCUUGACGUGAACAACAGGGAGGCUGCCAUGGCUGGAAUGGAGAUGCAGCUCAUAGGAGCUCUCUGGGCGCCAUGGGAGCCGAUCCCUGCUGCCGGAGGUGGAAGAAAGGGGCGCCAUGGGGAGGGAGCUCCCUGCUCAGCCGAACAGAGAAGGGAAGGGAGUGGUGUGUGGGAGAAGGGAGAGGGUGGGCUGCCAUUUAUAGAGCCAAGCUCUAGACAUGUCAGACUGCACCAGCAGGUGGCAGGUGCUGCAGUGACGACUUUGGACGACGUGUUUUGGCAUUUUCCGCUUGAAAUCGGAUCUUGGUUGCUGCACAAAAUAUCUUCCUUGAUCUAUACUCUACAUUUGUUGUAAAGGACUUGAGGUGAUUCGGGCACUGGUUAGAGAGUUAUAGACCCACGAAAAUUGGUUUGUCAGUGGGUUAGAAAACAGUGGAAACUCGUGAAAACUGAAUGUCAAAGCAUGUCAAACGAAAUCGGAUGAAUGCCAUCUUUUACUAUGUUGUGCCCCUAUUAGUUAUUAACAACUUUUGUAUUUGGGGAAACUUGAGUUGUUCAACAAAAAUUUGGGAACACGAGACGUCGACCCGAACGAUGCUGAUUUCAGACUUAGAAGAAUUCGAAUUCAGAAAUCAGAUUUUUAUUCUGUCUUGAUGUCACUGUUUGAGAUACUUAGAAAUUGAAUCAAGGCUUGGUUUAAAUAUAAAAUUUGUUGUAUUACACAGGUUCUACAAUGUUUAUUAAAAGUCAAACCUCAUAUCUUGAAUAUAAAUUAAAGUUUUACUUUGGUCAAGGUAGCAUCAUUAUAGAGCUUCAAAUUAUAUUUUUAAGGCAUUCGGGGUAUUUUCUUGGCAUUUUCUCUACAUGAACCCUUAAUAACUUUUGUUGUAGAGUUGAUAUAGAGUUGUUUGAGUAAGAUGGCAAGACUUGGUCGAAUUUCAAAAUUUACAUUUGUUCAAACGAGAAGUUUCAAGCAAGUAUAGGAUUUAUCUUUUCAUGUGAGUAUUUCGUUCAACCUUCUAGAAAUCUUUAGAAUACACUUGAUGGAUAGAGAUGAAUGAUGAUAUAUAGAAAACAAGUCGAGUUGCAUAAGAAUUAAUUAGAGGUUCACACAAAGAGAUCCUGCGGGAGAAUGCGGAUUCAGAUUAAGUAUUUGGACGUAGACCGACUAUCGAGACAACAGAUUCGGACAUAGAUCGGAUAAUAUCACAACUGUCAAGAGUCCGAAUAAAUGAGUCUGGACAGGAGUUACGGGACGAUAUUGACUUUCGAAUUUGCAUUUGCUCCGAGAAAUAAAAGUUUUAACAGGCUCCAAAUUUGGCUGUUCUCGAGAUAGAAUAAUUCCAAAUUUGGUGAAACAUUCAUGAGUAACUUGAUAAAUGGAGAUAAAUGUGAUAAAGAGAUAGAAAUUUUCACUGAGCAUCCGAGAUUAGGAUAAAUAUCCCGACAAAACGCGAAAUAGACACCUGGGGUGUCACAGCCUUCCCCCCUAAAAAAAGAAUCUCGUCCCGAGAUUCAGAUGAGGGUCUUCAAGGGUGGAGAAGCAUGUAACGCCCAGGCUGAAGAUAGAUGCAAAUUCGUGAAAGGGUAUCUGACAAGAUACUGAAGAUAGAUUUGGAUAGAAUAUCGCGGCAUGUUGAGACCAAAUGCAGCGAUCACUUUGAGAGAAUAUCCACAAAAGAUAGCACAUCAGUAUAGUUUCGUAAUGGACCACGACUAUUAACCACGAUACCAGCGCGUGCCGAGCAGCUCAACCAUGUGUGCGCGCCCACAGGAGGCUCUCGGUUUCGUCGCGGCACCAUCAGUUGUUAGCCAUAAUACCAUUACCAAACGCAACCAAUGAGAAAUCCACAUAGCACAGAUAGAUGGAGCCCAUGAGAGUAUGGCUCAGAAAAUAAGAAUGUGACCGGAGUUGAAGCAGAGACUGCUGACAAAAGAGCAUCACAUGAGAAUUUUCUUUAACCCAGAGAACCAUUUGAUGAUCAACAUGGAGAUUAUCAGAUCAGAUAUUAGCACGAGAUUUGAUAUGAGGACGAACCAACCAUGAGAUCAAGAUUGAAGAGCUUGUAGAGAUAUGAGAGAACUAAAGACAAGAAUCAAAUCCAUUGAACCAAAUGGAUAUGCCAUUUAGAGAUAAGUUGAUAAAACAAGCAUCAUGAUCCUUAGAGGAAGAGUAUGAGAAUGAUCAGAAAUGAGAGAUUUAGGCAAGAUCAACACCCGAUACAUGAGAACAGGUUAUAGCAGAUAACCAGAUAACGGGGCAGAGUCAAUAAGGGAUCUGAAGAUUCGGAUGAUAAGGCCACAACAUGAUUCACCAGGAAAAUGAUUACCGGAUCCAGGCAAAAGGAGAGGUAGGCAAACAGGGUCAGCUAGGACGAUCGACAGAAAUGCUAUGAGGUUUUAGGGGCAAGGAUUUAUGGAAAGAAACAUGGCCUUGAUAGGGUUUGCGCAACUAGACACCAACAAUUUUUUUUUGACACAACAAGUGCACAAGGAAAUUUCAGUUUGGCUAGCGGUUAAGCUAUGGGGGUCUACAAGUUGUGCAGGUUUAACUUCAAAGGUAAAACACUCAAGGGGGCUAGAAAAUACCAACACAAGUAGGAUUUGUUUUUUAAGGAGGUUCCACUUGCUAAACUCAAGGUUGUUUGGAAAGGGGGUCUUUUUAUGGGCAAAACAAGCAACAAAUUUUUUUUUGCAAAAAAGGUUGAACAAUUACAAUGCUACCUAGAUGGCAAGGCAAGAGAAACACAUAACACAACCUAACAAGACAUACCCAUCUGACACGAGGUAAGGCAUUUCUAACAUAGCAGUACAUCACAUUAUUCACAAUUUCUUAUUAUUGGAGUAAAGGUGAGAAAAGCAUGUUGAUGCACAAGAAACAAUUAUGCGACAAUCAUGAUGCAUGCUCAUUCUAGUCGUCUUCUCAGACCUAACUAAUUAUUCGGAUGCUUCUAUAACAUCCUUAUUAAUAGUAGUAGUAGCCUUUAUGGCCUAUAUAAAUAGCCACCUAGCUACCCAUCUAUUUCCUAAGGCUUCACGUCCUAGGUCUAUCCUUAUCGUCCUGACGAUCUAUCUAAUAUUGGUUUCUAAGCAAGUUUUACUUUAGAAAAGUUGGUAUUCAUGACUUAUUGAUUCCUCUGUGGUGUUAUUCGCUCCGAUACCAGCUGUGGCGGAACCGCCCGAAUUAUUCCAGCUUAAGUGCCCAAGUCGCACCCUUAAGGGCAGCAACACACUUAAACAGGAAUAACACGUCAGUCCCUCGGAUCUAGUCCGAUAAAGCCACUUACCAGGAUCGAAUACCACUAGCUCACUCGAAGGUGAGGCACAGAGAAAUACAAUAAAACAUAAUACCACAAAUUUAAUAAGUAUAAUCAGUGAUUACAUUAUCGGAGUUUCAGAAAUAAUAACCAUAAAUUUUAAUGCAGCGGAAAUAACUAACGGAGAAAACCGAGUAACAUGGCGAAGCCUGGCCACGCUACUCCUCCUGGUCCUCUCCUGCGGAAGCAGUAACCCACUCGACCAUCUAUCCCGGUGGCAGGGAUGGAGGCCAAGACACACCAUCAACCAAUCAACCUAAGAAGUACCUGCAAAAAUUAUGCCACAAGCAAGGCUGAGUAUACUAAUACUCAGCUAGACUUACCCGGUGUGAGGAGUCUACUCCUCUACCUCUAGACAUGCAGCUGUUUAGCUGAGGGGUUUGGUUUGCCAAAAGCGCUAGCUGAGUCUAAAAUCAAGUUUUAGCUUUUCAAGUUUUAGUAAGAUCCUUUUUAAACUAGAUGAGUACCUAGCUACUCAUACAUGGUAUCAAACAUUUUUAACAAUCAACAUGUUUUGCCAAGUCAACACAUUUCCACUUGUUACUCAAUGUAGCAGCAUGGAUCAAGCAGUCUCAUUAGCUGCGAGAAGCAGACGAUUCGAAUCGAGUUUUUAUCCUUGCAAGGUAAACCUAAACACACGACGUGUAGGGGCACUCCGUCCCCACACACAUCAACCGUCCCCAUCGAUUCCCCGUCAGCAGAUCAGGGCUCACCGCCUUGGCGUACAAUGCCUCACUGACCCCGACUGCCGUCGUGCAGUGACCGCACUUGUACCCACCAUAACCGGAAUGGGAGACCACGUCUCAGGUCGCGUGAGGGGAUAUAUCCACUGCCAGGUUCACUCAGGUACUAGGCUUACCGAUUUACCAUAUUUCUCGGCAUAUGUUUAGUACGUUCAAACGCUUGACUCACGGUACCACACCUUAAUCCUUAUUCCAAUUUCCGUCUCGUAGACAACGCAUCCCCAUGGACCGUUGUCCACAGACCACCAUCAUUAUGAUAUCAAAAUGGAUACAACCAAUUCCUGACCUCGCGCGAGUGCUAGAAAAAUCACUCGACUUCUACCGAGAUCCCUAAUUAAUAAAGCAGCUACUCGACUUAGCAUACUAGUAUCCAUCUCAAAGGGAAUCCUGAGUUCAUGCAACUAAGGUUCCAAACAACUCCUACACUUAAGUGCACAGUACAAGCCUACAAACAUUAAGUGCAGUAAAAUAGUAUAUAUAAACGGUUAUGCAUAAAACCGGGGCUUGCCUUUAAUUUAACACUUAGAUUGUGUUUGCUGGGGUGGCACUCGCUUGGCGAGCAUCCACUAGUCAAGUCCAUCAUUCUUCAGGUCGUCCACCAACUGCAUCUUGUGGUUGGCACCACAUCACUUGCACGAUCGUCAUCUCUCGGUCCUAAAUGAGAUGCAAGAUGCAUAUGUAUGAAUAUACUGAAAGUAGCACAAAAGUAGCACAAGAUAUACAAAGACACAGUGGCGAACUAAACAUUAAUUUGGAAGACACCGUAGACAACCAUACGCUAGCAUUCGUUAUCUACACGUUAUCGGCGUCCAACAUUAACACCUUUAAAAAGACAACACCAUUUUAUUUAUUUACGCACACAACUACGACAUCACAAGUAACCACAUUUACCACGUUCACUUUACUCAUCCAUUAGUUACUUAAUCAUCAAGUUAGUUAAGUACCUAAGUUUGCUACGACUGAUAUGUAGAUAGACUUAGUUGAAAAGGAAUUAGACACUUAAUUUGUGCUUUACAAUUAUUUACUAGGCAAACACUUAUUAGACCUUAACCAAUUUAGUUUACUAAUUUAGCGAGACGUGUACUAAUUACCUAUAUACUUAGGCUCAAUUAUGUUAGUUAUAUUAUCAUUACUGUGUGUUCAACCAAAACCAAAACGAGAAAACAGUCGACUCAAGAAAUACACCACAAAGUAGAGCAAUCCACCAAACAUAACAAAAUUAGGACAGCAGCACAGUAGCUACUUGUUUCAUUCAUAACUCUUCAAAUAUUAAUCCAAACAUAGCAAACUAGGACUUUCUGGAAAGCUUAAAAUGUGCUCUACAACUUUGGUAUUUUCACCUAAACAAGAAUCAACACUUAGCAAGGUUAAAAGUGCUAACACAAUAGAUCUGUCCAGAUUUGGACAGAUUCAGACUUGCAACUUCAAAAAUUCACAACCACAGAUUCAGACAUCCAAACAAAGUGAUCCUAGACUUUCUGGAAAGCUAAUUAAAUUUUCUACAUAUCAUUUAUAAACAUCUCAAGGUGAUUCAAUGUUUAACUAAGGACAAAAUACACUAGAAGGCUUUGCUGUCCAGAAUUGGACAGAUUCAGUCUUCAGACUUUAAACAUCCAUAACUUAGUCUUCAGAUCACCAAAAAGAGUGAUCCAAGACUUUUUGGAAAGCUUGGAAAAAGCACUACAUAACUUUUAUAAUCACCAAGAAUUGAUUCUAUGUUGAACUGAAUCAAACAAUUCAGAUUUUUGAAAUCUGUUCUGUCAGUGGAUAGAACACAGCAACCAAGUUGUAAAAUUCUUAACUCUUAAACCUUCAGGCCUUUAGUUAUGAAAUUUUAGCAAAAGCAAGAUAAGAAAAGCAUCUACAACUUUCUUAUAAUCUACAAGGACUGAUUCAAACAUUAACUUAAGCAAACAGUACAGUCUCUGAAAUCUGUACAGAAAUUGGACAGAUUCAGUUACUGAAUUUGUAAAAAGCAUAACUCCUAAACUGUCAGACCUAUGGCUAUCAAAUUUUAACACCAGCAAGAUAAUAAAUUUAUCUACCACUUUUCUAUAGCACAUAUCUACAGAAAACACAAUUUGGUUCAUCAAACAAACAACACAAAUAAAAUAGUGUGUGCAGUCCAAAACAACAACUAUAAAUUUUAGCUCCUAUUUACUUCAAGAAUUGUCAUGUUCUAGAGACUGAAAUUUCUCUAACACUUUACUAUUUAUUAGAGUUGAAACAAAUAAAAUAGGACCAACAAGUCACUUACAAAUUUUAUUCGAGUCAUUUCGUGCGCUAGAGUUAUUACCACACAAUUAACAAACACAUGCACCAAAAUAAAGUACUUCGGCACACAUGUCCGACAUCACACAAAAUUGUGAUGAAAUACUAAUAUUUAACUUUAGACCAUCAUGACAUAACCAUUUAAACUCUAAUUGGUAUUAAGGUGUAACUCAAGCAUUUCAUGAAACAUGCAUGAUUUUGUUUUCUCCUAAUUUUCACUAACUCGUGUAAUUAUAAAAGGGGUGUUAUUUUAGCACCAUAUGAAACUAUCUAAUUUGGGGCUAGAAUUUUUAUGAGGCAUAGUUAAUAACAAAUUAUGACUAAUGUAUAAAUUUUACAUGCCCAGGUUUUAUAUUUUAUUUACUACAAAAAUAACAAAUUUUUGAUGCAAUAAAGCAUAUGAGACAAGGUUAAAUCUAAAACUAAUUAUUUUCUGUGGAUGCAUGACCAUAUCAAGUUUUCUUAGGCUACUAUAAUAUCAUACAAGGACAGUGGAACAUCAUUUUCCAUUUUUACAUCCAUAUAUUUUUUAUAAAUCAUUUAAAACUACUUAAGGUGCAUUAAAUAAGUUAAAACACUAACUUAAUCAUACAUGCACAACAAUUCAUGAAAUUUUUACCAGUCACCAAGCAUCACAACAAGAGUCUACUGUAAAAAUUUGAAUCCAUUUGGAGCACUAGAGCUACAGAUCUAAAAAUAACAAGCAAAACAAUCAUCUUUUUCCUAUUUAACAUGUUUUAAUUAACACACCAAGAAAACAGUGAACAACCUAUAAGUUUUAUAUUUUUCUUAGAUGGAGUAUGACAACAUCUAACUAACAAAUCAAGUUUCAUCAUUUUUGGAUUUUUAUAAAUAAAACUAUGGAGAGAAGCAAGUUCAUUUAUUUUGUAAACCAGUUUUUAAAUACGAAUUUCUACAGAAACACUUUUCCACUAAACCAUACCAACAUAUAGAUCCAAUAGUUAGAGCAUUUCAUAAGGAAGCCAACAAAAAAAGUUUCACGAUUUUAGGAGCUCCAAAACUCGAGAUAUGAAUUUUUGAACACAACACAAAAAUCUGCAACUUGUGUACUCAAAUCUCGCCUUGGGCCCACCUGUCAUAGGCACUAGGCGUCUUCUUCAACCUUGACGUGAACAACAGGGAGGCUGCCAUGGCUGGAAUGGAGAUGCAGCUCAUAGGAGCUCUCUGGGCGCCAUGGGAGCCGAUCCCUGCUGCCGGAGGUGGAAGAAAGGGGCGCCAUGGGGAGGGAGCUCCCUGCUCAGCCGAACAGAGAAGGGAAGGGAGUGGUGUGUGGGAGAAGGGAGAGGGUGGGCUGCCAUUUAUAGAGCCAAGCUCUAGACAUGUCAGACUGCACCAGCAGGUGGCAGGUGCUGCAGUGACGACUUUGGACGACGUGUUUUGGCAUUUUCCGCUUGGAAUCGGAUCUUGGUUGCUGCACAAAAUAUCUUCCUUGAUCUAUACUCUACAUUUGUUGUAAAGGACUUGAGGUGAUUCGGGCACUGGUUAGAGAGUUAUAGACCCACGAAAAUUGGUUUGUCAGUGGGUUAGAAAACAGUGGAAACUCGUGAAAACUGAAUGUCAAAGCAUGUCAAACGAAAUCGGAUGAAUGCCAUCUUUUACUAUGUUGUGCCCCUAUUAGUUAUUAACAACUUUUGUAUUUGGGGAAACUUGAGUUGUUCAACAAAAAUUUGGGAACACGAGACGUCGACCCGAACGAUGCUGAUUUCAGACUUAGAAGAAUUCGAAUUCAGAAAUCAGAUUUUUAUUCUGUCUUGAUGUCACUGUUUGAGAUACUUAGAAAUUGAAUCAAGGCUUGGUUUAAAUAUAAAAUUUGUUGUAUUACACAGGUUCUACAAUGUUUAUUAAAAGUCAAACCUCAUAUCUUGAAUAUAAAUUAAAGUUUUACUUUGGUCAAGGUAGCAUCAUUAUAGAGCUUCAAAUUAUAUUUUUAAGGCAUUCGGGGUAUUUUCUUGGCAUUUUCUCUACAUGAACCCUUAAUAACUUUUGUUGUAGAGUUGAUAUAGAGUUGUUUGAGUAAGAUGGCAAGACUUGGUCGAAUUUCAAAAUUUACAUUUGUUCAAACGAGAAGUUUCAAGCAAGUAUAGGAUUUAUCUUUUCAUGUGAGUAUUUCGUUCAACCUUCUAGAAAUCUUUAGAAUACACUUGAUGGAUAGAGAUGAAUGAUGAUAUAUAGAAAACAAGUCGAGUUGCAUAAGAAUUAAUUAGAGGUUCACACAAAGAGAUCCUGCGGGAGAAUGCGGAUUCAGAUUAAGUAUUUGGACGUAGACCGACUAUCGAGACAGCGGAUUCGGACAUAGAUCGGAUAAUAUCACAACUGUCAAGAGUCCGAAUAAAUGAGUCUGGACAGGAGUUACGGGACGAUAUUGACUUUCGAAUUUGCAUUUGCUCCGAGAAAUAAAAGUUUUAACAGGCUCCAAAUUUGGCUGUUCUCGAGAUAGAAUAAUUCCAAAUUUGGUGAAACAUUCAUGAGUAACUUGAUAAAUGGAGAUAAAUGUGAUAAAGAGAUAGAAAUUUUCACUGAGCAUCCGAGAUUAGGAUAAAUAUCCCGACAAAACGCGAAAUAGACACCUGGGGUGUCACACAAACGCUCUGAAGCUAACGACGCUCGCGGCCGACCAGCCCCGCGUUGUCGAAGUCCGCCCCUUCCGCUAGACCAGUGAGCACCCUCUCCCCUGAAUGCUGAAGGAGAGGGUGACCCACGAACCCGUGCGGGAGGUAGAGCUCCGGCUCAGCCCGCCCUCCGCCCCAGCAAGGAUGAUGAAGAUCCUUGAAGCUGAGGGCGGGGUAGAGGCCGCAGCCCGGCUCGCUUCUCCCCACCAUCAAACUGGUGGUCACCGCCUUGGGUGACCACCGGCGAGGGGAUGCAGCCGGGCUGCCUGAUGAAAAUCCUUGAAGCCGAACGAUGGGUGAAAGGUACCAACUUCCGCGAAGUUGCGUUCCUCCAACGACGACAAGACGAAAGCAACGCAAGCGCUCCCCAUCCGGGGCUCGGAAGGUGGAAGGGCGUGAUGCAUGAGGAGAGUGCGAAGACAUGGUUGCCAUCCAAGGGGGUCACCCUCCUUUUAAAGGCGACUCCCCCCACUUGCGUCCUCAGCCGGCACGGACUGAGUCUUCUCCAACACGCUCCAAGGUCCUCCCCCUACGACACGGGGGCUGGGUCCCACGCGUCAUGCAAGCUGGCCCAGGACAGAAGAAGCCGAACCGCCACGCGCGGAGCGCACAACAGCCCAGCGAUUACAAGCAUUCCUCCACUAUCGCCCGGACCAGCGGGUGAAAGGGCAGACCGCCAUGCAGGCGGCAUGCAACCGCACCAAGGGGGCGCACCCUUUCGACUUCGACGCGUCCAGCAUGGAGGCCCAGGCCCACACGUCAUGUAACCGGCGCGCCGGUUACUACGUGCGAGAAACCGCACCGCUACUCACGCCAGUACCGCGCCUCCUCGACUACGGAACCGGUGCCGCGACUUGAGGCGACCCUGCGCAUGACCCGACAGUGCCAAUCGAGCACAUCGGUCACGGGUCAGUCAGCCGCGGGAGAAGGCGCGACGGUCGAUACGGCCAGAAAUGGGCCAGCAGUAAUGGCGGUGGCAGGCGGGCGGAAGCAACAGUCAAGUCGUCAGCAAGCUCACGCCCCCUCUUGGGAGAGCGAGAGAACCCUCUCCCACGGCGUGAAGACGACGCGCCCGUGUUCCGUUCCUCGAACGGCUCGCGCACGCACAACGGCUGCCCCGCGAACCACUCGUCCCGUCGCAUUAACUCUGCGGCAGGACAGACGGCACCUUUGGCAGGCGAAGCAGGCGACGCUUCACCUCCGCCAUAAUGACCGCGUCAAAAAAUGUGUGCCACGUCAUUCGAUUUCGUAUCCUUUUCCACUUCCUCUUUCUCUCUCUUGCUACAGGGACCGGGAAAGGGGAUAUUCUGAAAGGGAUCCUUCUCCGCGAAGGAAGCGGGCCCCGAGCCCCCCUACUGAUCAGAGGUUCGAAGGCUGGCCCCUCGGAAGGGUUCAACAGCCGCCUCAGAGCACUCGGGCUCCGCGCCCACUACUGGUUAGAGGUUCGAAGGCUGGCCCCUUGGAAGGGUUCAACGACCAUCUCAGGCCACUCGAGCUCCGCGCCCACUACUGAUCAGGGGUUCGUAGGCUGGCCCCCGAAGGGUUCGACAGCCGCCUCAGAGCAUGCAGAGCGAGGGAUGACCUUGGGUACGAUACAUAACCAAGGCUCGGGCUACGCUCCCGAGGUACCCUAGGACAUUUCCGAGACCAACGGGAAUGAUUUGUAACGGAAUCCCACCAGAGGGAGGCAUCGAGCCCUUGAACCCCGUCAAAAGGGGACCGGGUCCGGCGAAUCACCCGUAGUUACUUUUGGAGCGCGCCUCCGGGCCACUAGCCGACCCCUAACGAAUGGGGCACGGGCGUCCACUCAGAUUAUCCGUUAGCAACUCACUGGAGACACCAUGUUCGGCGCCCUCCGAGAGCAACAUGGUGCUUCCCCCCCUCCUUGCGGAAAGGCGAUGCAGGGGCGUAUGAAAAAAGCCGAGUCUGUCCUUGACCGUCCUCUCGCUCCACGCGGAGGCUCGGGGGCUGCUCUCGCAAACCCGGCUCCGGCCAAACCGUUGACAGCGUCAACAUACCAGCCCGAGAACUUGGACUCGACUAUCCACCCGGGCUACGACCAGUUCGCAUGAGGGAACAACCAGACCGACCGAAGCAUCACAAAACGCGCUAAGACCUCGAAGGAGUCAAACCACUCCUCCGAGGCCUCGGGGGCUACACCCGGCGGGUGCGCUUGCGCGCACCCACCGGAACGAAACGCAACCGAGAAAGGCCGGUCCCCUUGCAAAAAAGUGUGACAAAAGCCUCCAAGCGAGUAUCAACACUCCCUUCGAGGCUCGGGGGCUACUGUCGGGGACCAUAAUUAGGGGUACCCCCAAGACUCCUAAUCUCAGCUGGUAACCUCCAUCAGCACAAAGCUGCAAAGGCCUGAUGGGCGCGAUUAAGGUCAAGGCUCAGUCCACUCAAGGGACACGAUCUCGCCUCGCCCGAGCCCAGCCUCGGGCAAAGGCAGCCGACCCCGGAGGAUUCACGUCUCGCCCGAGGGCCCCCUCAAGCAACGGACACACCUUUGGCUCGCCCGAGGCCCAGUCUUCGCAGAGAAGCAACCUUGGCCAGAUCGCCACGCCAACCGACCGUAUCGCAGGAGCAUUUAAUGCAAGGAUCGCUUGACACCUUAUCCUGACGCGCGCCCUUCAGUCGAUAGAGCCGAAGUGACCGCAGUCACUUCGCCGCUCCACUGACCGACCUGACAAGAAAACAGCGCCGCCUGCGUCGCUUCGACUGCUGUGCCACUCGAUAGAGGGAGGCUGACAGCAGUUAAGUCUAGCCUCGGGCGCCAUAGGAAGCUCCGCCUCGCCUGACCCCAGGGCUCGGGCUCAACCUCGACGCUGGACGACAGACUCCGCCUCGCCCGACCCCAGGGCUCAGACACAACCUCGGCCUCGGAAGACGGUCUCCGCCUCGCCCGACCCAGGGCUCGGGCUCAACCUUGACGCUGGACGACGGACUCCGCCUCGCCCAACCCCAGGGCUCGGACACAGCCUCGACCUCGGAAGACGGUCUCCGCCUCGCCCGAUCCAGGGCUCGGACUCAACCUCGACCUCGGAAGAUGGACUCCGCCUCGCCCGACCCCAGGGCUCGGACUCAGCCUCGACCUCGGAAGACGGACUCGACCUCGACCUCGGAGGAGCCUCCGCCUCGCUCGACCUAGGGCUCGGACCGACCACGUCACAGGGGGCCAUCAUUACCCUACCCCUAGCUAGCUCAGGCUACAAGGAACAAGACCGACGUCCCAUCUGGCUCGCCCCGGUAGACAAAUAAUGAUGGCGCCCCGCGUGCUCCAUGACGACGGCGGCUCUCAGCCCAUUACGGAAGCAAGGAGACGUCAGCAAGGAUUCGACAGCCCCGACAGCUGUCCUUCCACAGGGCCCAAGCGCUCCUCCGACGGCCACGACAUCACAUGAACAGGGUGCCAAAACCUCUCCGACUGCCACGACGACAUGUACUUAGGGCUCUAGCUCCUCUCUGCGAGACAUGUUAGCACACUGCUACACCCCCCCAUUGUACACCUGGACCCUCUCCUUACGCCUAUAAAAGGAAGGUCCAGGGCUCUCGUACGAGAAGGUUGGCCACGCGGGAGAACGGGCCGACGCAUAAGGCUCUCGCUCUCUCUCGCUCUCUCCCACGCGAACGCUUGUAACCCCCUACUGCAAGCGCAUCCAUCCGCCCUGGGCGCAGGACAACACGAAGGUCGUGGGUUCCCCUUACUAUUCUCCCCCCUUUUGUGUCCCGUCUCGCGCUGACCCAUCUGGGCUGGGACACGCAGCGACAAUUUACUCGUCGGUCCAGGGACCCCCCGGGGUCAAAACGCCGACACAAAUCAACCAAGAAAUAAAGCGAGUGAACACGGUGAUUUGUUUUACCUAGGUUCAGUUCCAAAGAACCUAGUCCCCGUAGAGGAGGUCACAAAGACCGGGUCUAUUUCAACCCUUUCCCUUUCUCAAAUGGUCACCUAUACCGAGUGAGCCUUCUUCCUUAAUCUCACGGGUCACUAAGACCCCGCAAGGACCACCACACUCUUGGUGUCUCUUGCCUCUCUUACAAAGCACUUGAGAGUAAGAGAAAGAAAAGAAAGACCAAGCCAAGCAACAAGAGCAACAAAGAACACAAGAAAACCCUCUCUCAAGUCCCUAAUGGAAUUGAUUUGAUUUGGAGACUUUGGAGAGGAUCCAAUCUAUUUGAUGUGUCUUGGAGUGGAGUCUUUUGCUCUUGUAUUGAAUGCAAUGUUUGGAAUGCUUGGAUGGUUAUGAAUGAGAUGGUUGGGGGUAUUUAUAUCCCCCAACCACUUCCAUAGCCGUUGGGGAAGCUGCUGUCGAUGGGCGCGCCGGACAGUCCGGUGCGCCACCGGACGCUCACUGUUUAGUGUCCGGUGCGCCACCACGUCACCCAACCGUUAGGGUUCGGAGCGAAGUCGACUGUUGGAGCUUUGUCCUCUUGCGGUACCAGACAGUCCGGUGCCAGCCCGGUGCCCUCUGACUUCGCGGCUCUGACUUCUGCUGCGCACUGUGCUGCGCUAUUCACGCUGUCAGAGUCAACCGUUGCGCGCUGGAUAGCCAUAUGUUUGUGUUGGACAUUCAACCACCAAAAUUAAUUGUAGAAAAAGGUUAACCCUAUUUCCCUUUCAAUCUCCCCCUUUUUGGUGAUUGAUGCCAACACAAACCAAAGCAAAUAUAUAAAGUGCAGAAAUGAACUAGUUUGCAUAUGGUAAGUGCAUAGGUUACUUGGAGUUAAACCAAUUGAAUAUCUCACUAAAUUUGAAUGGCUUGCUUUUCUUUUAUUUAACGUUUUGGACCACAUUUGCACCACUUAUUUUGUUUUUGCAAAUCCUUUUGAAAAAUCUUUUCAAAGUCUUUUGCAAAUAGUCAAAGGUAUAUGAAUAAGAUUGCAAGAAGCAUUUUCAAGAUUUGAAAUUUCACCCCUUGUUUCAAAUGAUUUUCCUUUGACUAAAUAAAACUCCCCUAGAAUGAAAUUCUCCUCUUAGCUUUCAAGAUGUUUUUUGAAAUAGAUACCAAUUUGAAGAUUGAUCUUUAAAUAUACCAAUUUAAGGAUUAAUUGUAAAUUAAAUAUAAUUGAGAAAUUUCCAUCACGUUGAUACUAGUGUGAAAAAUAUUUCGAAUUUAAGGAUUAAUUGUAAAUUAAAACUUCAUUUUGAUUUUUUUUUUUAAAUUGGUGGUGCGGUCCUUUUGCUUUGGGUUUAAUAUUUUCUCCCCCUUUAGCAUUAAUCGCUAAAAACGGAGACAUUGAGAGCCCUUAUAAUACUUUCUUCCCAUUGUGUAACGCCCCGGUCUAAACAACCGAAGCUAAACAUGUAUUUAAGCACCAGAAAAUAGUCUCUGGUGAAAUACAUUACACAAGUGGUGCCACAGUCAUACAUAACUUUAUUUAGUACAUUCGGUUACAAUAAUAACACCAACUAGAAGAACUAUAGUCGAUAAGAUAAACACGAUGGUGGUAUCUUCUUCCCACAUGGUGGCUUCUACCGCAACGGCACCACGCCAAACUUGGGUAUAGGACACGAACUACUCAAAAUUCCUCAGGCACGAAAUUAGGAUCCUCUGUAAAAAUAACGGGUGAGCACAAAGGUACUCAGCAAAUCCAACCUCGCCCUUACAGGG